RNAcentral lists this long non-coding RNA (47414 nucleotides) under Fragaria vesca (wild strawberry). RNAcentral's name for it is "long non-coding RNA (FVES_LNC002269)". The record is from RNAcentral. Lineage: Eukaryota; Viridiplantae; Streptophyta; Magnoliopsida; Rosales; Rosaceae.
UUAAGUGAACCGAACACAAUUUAAUUCCAAUAAGAGGUUUCCUUGAAGUCUUGGGAGUAGAUCAAGUUACAUCAUAACUAGUCAUCUUUUGAGCAAGCGCUUCUAACUGCCAACUUAAACAUUACAAGUUUGCAAUGACAGGAAUCAAGGUUUAUUGUAAAGAAAAUGCAGAAAGCAAUAAAAGAGAGGGAGAAAGCUUUGGAGGCUACAUUGUGUCUAUCUUGAUUGAGAGAUAAUGAGGUUACAACAAUACAUAUAGGACUUAGAAUAUAAAAUGACGUAAAUGCCCUUGCGAUUUAAUUGUCAUAAACCUAACAUAUAGUUAACACCCCCCCCCCCCCCCCCCCCCCCCCCUCCCAACCAUAUGGUUGGGAACAAGCAUAAUGGUUGCCUGCAAACUACACAGAUAUAGCCCAAAAAAUACAAGAAAACACCCAAUUCAAUAACCCAAGAACUUGAUAUGAUAAGAUCAACUAGCUUCCAUCUUGACUUGCAGCAGAAUUGGUAUAAGAGGAGAGGCAGCUUGCUGGAAAAAAACCUCAAAGUUCUCAUGGUGAAAGCAACGGCAGUAAGGCAGCAAUAUAUAAAACAACCUGAGCAGCAAGUGAUAGAAAACUGAAAAUUUCUUCAUAUUUGACUGAAAACUGAUAUGAAUACAAACUGAAAACUGCAUAUGACUGCUAACAACUUUCUGAUAUUCAUUUGCUCACUACCAGCAACCUCACGAAAUUUGCCUUUAUCUGAAACUGAAACUACAUUUGCAUUCCAGCAGCUCAAUAUCAUCAACUUCGGCCUCUCUCUAAAACCAUCUGCAAUUUUCUCAUUCAUUCACAUAAAACAGCAGCCCAUUACUUGGAAACCAUCAACAUAAUAGCAACAUGCAGAUCCUCUCAACUCCUCUCUAUUUUGCAUAAGAAGAUCAAUGUAACAUCCCUUCACCAUUCAAGCUCUUAUAGCAGCAAUAUGACCAUUACACAUUAUACAUAGCAGAUAUGCAGCAAUCAUGGAACCAUCUCUCAAAACGAGCACAACUUGCACACAAGUCAUAUAUUCAGACCAUAAUCUAACCCAUCAAGCCAAUUCACCAGUCCAAAAACAAAUUAUAAACUGCUUCGUCACCUUUUCUUUUGGUUGACGGCAAACAAACUAUGAUAAGAAAAAUUAAACUGGAAAACUGAUGAAUUGAUCAUAACAACCCAGACUAGAGAGAAAAUCCACGACUCAAGUGAAAGAGAUGCCAAUCUGACAAACAGUACCAACUUUGCUGUAUAUACUGUAUACUAUCAUCAACUCUCAAUUCUUCUUUGCACAGUCCAUAUCCAAUUCUAAAAAGACUCUCCCAAAGUUGCACAGACCGGCAAAAGAACCCACAGAAUCAAUCCAUAACCCAACUUGAUAAGCUAGAAUCACCAAACCAUAAAAGGAAUAUAAAUUUCUUCAAUCUUAAACUUCAAACUUUGAUAAAAAUAAAAAUGGCAAACUGACAACUACUAGCAGAACAACCGAGACUAAAGAUCGAUCAAUUCCACGAUUCAAAUGAUAGAGAUGAUGAAUCGGAGAGAUAUUACCAAAUUUUCGGAAGAAACUGAUGCUAGAGAGGAGAGAGGCAGUUGAAACACAAUUGCAGAAUCCCAAAUCCAUACGACAAGACGACGACAUCGAAUGGAAAGUUUCCAGUCGCCGGAGAGAACAAGAACGUCUCCAGGAGGGAAUCGAUUCAAGAUUGGGGUUACGGUUUUGAAAUUGGGGAUCUGAAAUUGAAAGGAACUUGAAAAUGCGAAAGCAACUACGUAUCGAUAAACACAGAAGCCACAAGGUACCGGAUCAGAUACCAUGGGCUCUGAUACCAUGACAGGAAUCAAGGUUUAUUGUAAAGAAAAUGCAGAAAGCAAUAAAAGAGAGGGAAAAAGCUUUGGAGGCUACAUCGUGUCUAUCUUGAUCGAGAGAUAAUGAGGUUACAACAAUACAUAUAGUACUUAGAAUAUAGAAUGACGUAAAUGCCUUUGCGAUUUAAUUGUCAUAAACCUAACAUAUAGUUAACAUGCAACAUAGCUAAUCUUGAUCAGAAGAUUUCAAUCAAUUGCUUGCUAAUCUAUUUUUUCUUGGGUCGAAAUUGAACGGCUGAUCAGUUUUGGUCUUGCUAAUUAAGUUUAUGAAUGUAUGACAUCAGCCUUUUCAAUCUUGAAAGAUUUCAAUCACUCUCUAUUUUUUUUUUUUGCCAUUGAUCAGCUUGUUUACUCUGCUGUAAAUCAACCUGUGAGUUCUGUUUUGAGUUGGCAUGUUCUUGAAGGAUUAGUGAACAAUAAAUAUAUACUUUGCAUACUUGUUUUUAAAAUAGAGCUUUUCUCAUUACUCCUUUUACAACUCAGAGCCUCAACCUUAUAUAUACAAGAACAUGAAAUUGGAAAUCUAGUUGAUUUUAGAACAUAAAGAGUAGAAAGAAAGAAACAAAGAAAGAAAGAAGGAAAGAAAGGAAGCAAGCAGUGCGUUAAGUUUGAACUAUUAGCUAGGCCACUUCCGAAAUUUUAAGACCAAUUUGGGUUCUUCAAUUCAGCAAAAGCUAUCUUCCAUGAGCUUAACAAAUUCCUCAAAGUCUAUACGUCCAUCUCCAUUUUGAUCGAAGGACUUGAUCAUUCUUUUGCAUUCUGACUCCGAAGCUUGGAUGAAACCUAAUACAUGGAGAACCUUCUUGAUCUCCCCUGCAUCGAUGAACCCAUCUGCAUUUUCAUCAAACAAAUGGAAGGCGUCUUUCACUUCCUCCAAGCUGGGUUCCUCCUCAAGCAAGUCAGCCAUCUCCUUAGCCCCAUUAUCAUCACAUAAACUUCCCAGGUUCUCCAUAACCGCUGCCAACUCUCCUAAACACAGUUUCGUGUCACCCAAGUCUUUCGUGUUCUGUUCGACACCUACUGUCUUGUAAAUGCAAGCUUGCUGGGUUGUGAUCUUGGUCUGAUUAUUGCGGCAAACAUUGCGCAGACCAGUAUUAAGCAAGUAACUUACAAAGAAUUGAAGCGCAUACCUCAAACUUGACAAGUGUAGAAAGAAUUGCACAAUGAGCCACUUAAUAAUCAUUAUGAAAAACAGAACCCCAACAAGUGCAAGGGAGCUGCUGGCAAUUGCAUCAUCCAUGAAUGUCUUCUCCAUUUCUGGGUGGGAAUAGAAAAACUGAAAUGCUUGACUGAUUUAUUGUUAGUUGGGUUAAGACUUGCCAAUGGAGUGUGGAAGCCACUCUUCGGUGUUAUAUAGAAGUAUAGAACUACCUGAAAUGAAGUCAAGUCAUCCUGGAGAUUAAGCGUUUUGGAAAAUGCAGUCACAAGUGAUCCAAAUUUCCGUGAAAUUAUAACCAAAGACUAUUACUGUGAAAUUUCCAUACAAGUUAGGAGUUCGUCACUUUUAAUGUUUAAUCAAAUUAGGGUUGUUAUGUGUGAAAACUUCUGUGUAGUCACUAUGAGUACUCGGGGUGUGUGAGGGAGACAGAAACCCAAAACAAGUAUGGGUGGAGUUGCACAGAAGUUGCAGUGUGAAAACGAUCAAACAUGUCUAAGUCUUCUGCGUAGCCAGGAAUUAUGCCAUACGUAACAAUAAUUCUCAACUUGCAACUCCACGAAAAAUACAAAAGAAAGUGUCCAAUGUUAGCAUCGGAUUCUAUGUCGCCAAGUUUUGAUUGAUUUUAACAGAGGUAUGGAUUAUUGACACAGUUUAUCAUACUUCCGAGUAUUUCUUUUUCCAAUUUGUCACUGGCUUUCACAUGUUUCUUGUUAAUGUGAAACUCGCAUUUUUUUUUUCUUUUAGAAUUUGAUCCAUUUGGGUAGGUCUAGUGAAAACAUGUUAGGUUGCAAAUAAGACGGGACGUUACAUAAAUUGCUCAUGAUCCCGGAAUGGUCUAGCUCAAUCAACCACCAUUUUUUAACACCAAAAAGAAAAUUGGAAAUUUUGUUCCUCGUUCCGUAAUCUUCCCAAGUUAGUUAUCUUCAUAUUUUAUCACGUUUACUCUUCCUCUCAAAAAAAUUAUAUAUCACAUUUACUCGUCCGUGUGAGUCAAAUUUCUUCACCAGCAAUAUGGUUUCACUGUCUCCCUAUUAUAGUGUCCCCAACGUUCCAGCUGGAUCAGCUGGGAGUGAAUGUAUAUCGAGGUUUUGUUUUGCAGUUAUUAUUGUCUUUUCACUUGUUAACAAGAAAAAAAAAAAUCACCACUAGCCCAAAUGAUAUUGGGUCAAGAAAGGCCCCAAGAAAAUGGGUUUAUACUUUGCGUGGCCUAUUGGGUCGACCCGGCCCAACGAUUCAGUCUGAUAAGCUUAGAGAAGCAAAAACCAGCUGAGAAAGAUGAGGCCAGCAAGCAAAGAACCAACGCGCCGGAGCCGCCCUUCAUCUCCGUUAAGGGACCGAAACCCAAUCUCGCCCAGGUCUCGUCACUCCGGGCCCACACCACCACGAGCCUUUCUCCUCGAUGACGUCACCGACUUCAACAACCCAAGAAGCUUCCCUCACAAUGUGAAGAAGCAAUGCUGGGAGAAGGCGGAGAAGAUCAAAGGGCGGGACCCGGAUCGCUGGCGGCGAGACCCGCUCGGAAACACAGUGUUCCGGAAGCUCGUGGGCUGCCCCGGUUGCUUAUGUCAUGAUUACGAUCACAUUGUGCCGUACUCUAAGGUGAAGUCAUAGUCUUUUGUGUGUUUCUGUUUGUGGGGAUUGCUUGGUUUGGAUUGGUUUGUGUUCUGUGAGGUGGGUUGUGUUGGUUUUUGAGAUUAUGGCUAUGUUUGUGAUCAAAGUUCUUUGCUUUUUUGCUAUAUAUUGUGCAUUUUUGUAAUGGCAUUGUGAGCAUUCUGUUUGGAAGAUGGUACAUUUUGGAAAUGCUUGUGUUAUUCAGUUCCAUAUGUUUAUAGGACUCAAGAAGUUGUGUUCUUUUGGUCUAUGGCGUUGCUUGGAAUAUAGUUCUGUUGCUGAAAAUGGAUGUUUGUAACAUGGUUAUCUGAGACUAGAAGUUGCUCAAAUGGCUGGAUUCUGUUUUAUGGUGAUAAUUCUUGUAUACAUUAUGUUAUAAACUUAUAAUGCAGUUUUAUCAGUAUGAAUAUGUAAAUGGCUUUCUAGUUUAACCGGUUUUUGCGAGAAUAUGAAUAGCUGUGGUGAUAUAGGAUUUUGGAUCUGGUCCAGGCCUUUGAACAACCUUUAAUUACUAUUUCAGGAAAUUACUCUCACUGGGUGUAAUAAAGGUAUAUGGGCGUGUCACGUGUGAAUCGUUUACCAGGAUAGUGCCUCAGCUAAUUGUAGGUUGGUCCAAAUAAUUGUGUAACAUAAUAUGAUAGGAUUGCUACAAACAUAAUCCAGGAACUAAUGUGCACUCACUGAGGCAUCAGUUGCCCAGGAGGAGCUACAUAUCAUGUUUUAGUGAGAAGCUUCUUUUGCAAUCUCUAUCAUGGAGAUUAAAUGGUUGGCAGAGCUCAGGAUUCUAAUUGGCUUGGUGCGGCAGCUUUGUGACAACAGUCUAAAAAAUUUAGGGACGAGAGUUUCAUGUGCCUUAUGUUCUUGUGGAUGGAGAGGGAUAGUGUUUUGAGGAGAUAUUAGGAGUGAACAUUCAACACUCCUCAUACUUCUAUUUCUUUGCACUUUUAAUUAAUGUAUGCUUCUUGUGUACUGGGUGACCCAUGUUAGCAUGUUUUUGAGUUUCCUAUAUGUAGGUAAAAGCAUUUUACUUUAUAUAAUAACCUCGAUAGUUGAAUUGCUUGGCUUAUUUUUUUUCCUGUAAAACCAUGAGUACAGAAAUGGAGGAAUGAUUUUAAAUUUUUGACAUUUCAGGGAGGAGAAAGUACGCUCGAAAAUUGUCAGGUUUUACAGGUGUGGACGUAUUCUCUCUUUAGAAGCUUGGUUUAUUAAAUAAAUGUUAUAUUUUUAAUUAUUAUCUGCUAUCUCUGGUCCAAAAAAUACCAUUUUACCUGUGUUUAUAAAUAAUCUUGCUACAUAUACCUCCACUACUCAGAGAUGGUUUAGCAAAUCAGCAAGCUGAUAUCUAAUGUGGCCAAUAGCAUCAAAGAACUACUGUAGAAGAGUGCAGGACAGAGUUGUAUGUUGUGUGAAAUCCUAGUUUAGAAAUGACUGUUAAUCAGCAGAGUUCAAAAAGUGAUGAACCAUGCAGAUAAACCUUAUCAUUUCUCUCUCAAAGUCAAUUUUAAGUCAUUCACUAAAUCUCACCAAGGUUGCACAUAACAUCUUCAUCUCAUUUUCUUUUAUGUGUAGCCUGUACUUAACUUGCGCCCAAAUUUUAUUGGAACUGGAGUUCACCUUGGUUUUUCUAGUUUCUGUAUCCCGUCUUAAAGAACAGAAAAAUUUACCCUAGAAAAUAUUUUACAUUUGUUAAAAAUCUAAAACCAUGUGUUCUUCUCUUCCAUACUGUAGGCAAAAGUGAACAGAUCAAAAGGAAACCGAACAGAGUUUUCCAGGGCUGAGCUCAUACAGAAAAGUUCUUACUGUCGGGUUUCAGGUAUCCCAUGAAACUCCAAAAACUUGCGAACGUCCUUGAGAGGAAGAAUUCAACUAAUUGAAUAACAGAUAACAGAGUUUCUUUUACAUGCAGGUCGUGAUAUGGAUCUAAUUGAACUGUCAGCCUAUGGUAAUGUCAGUCCUGCAAAAGAAGAUUCAUACUGUCGGGUUCCAGGUAAUCUCAAAAAACUCCUGAAGUCCUCGAGGGGAUGAAUGCAACUAACUGUAACAUGUAGAAGUUUCUUGAAAGUGCAGGUCGUGAUAUUGAUCUGAUUGACUCAGCCAAAGGCAACAUCCGCAAUGCACAAGAGUUUUGGGGGUGUACAAUCCAAUAAUCUGUUGUGUACGCAUUAAGUUCUAACAUGGAGACUGGAAAACUAGGUUCCAGUCAUAUUUGUAUCAAGCUGCAUAGAAUGUCAUUCAGUGAUUGUAAGAGGAGCAGUAUGAGGACAGUCCAUUUACAAAUCCUCAUGCGCAAGGUUAGCUAUCUGUAAAGUGAAAACCAUAGCUUGUUGAUUACACUUGUGAUGGAUGUAUGCAUGGUCACGAUAAAUGAAAAUUCUUCCUUGACAAACACUGACUUCUCACUUCAAAUUUGUGUUUAAGGCUAGCUUUAAGUGUACCUAUUAAGACAGUAGCAUAUCGGUAAUCACCAACUUGAACUAAUCAUCUUUAGCUCUUUAAGAAAAGAUAGAAAGUUGGCUUAUAUAUAUGUGUGUGUGUACAAGUAGUUUGAUUAUAAGAUAGAUUACUCAAUCAGACACCUUCAAACUCCAAACGUGGUGUUCCUUCUAUACUCUAUAGAGGAAAAAGAAAAGAUGAAAGAAAAAGUUGGAUGUUGGUUCUCUUUUCUUGCUUUCUGUUGGGAAAGUGAAGCUUCACAUCCCACUUUCUUUCAAGUGCUUUUUCAUGUUUUUUUCUUUUCCUGAAGAAGCAUUUCAAAUGUUAGAAGAAAAAAGCUAAAGAAAGUAGAGACACACACUUGAAAAACUUUUUGUUAUUCUCUGAUUGGAAGCUCCACUAUGAUGCGUAUACAGGUGUUCCACUUCCAUUUGAAUUCCUGUGAUUUUUAUGAAUGGUCUGUAUAUAUGUAUUGAUCGUCAUACGUUUACGUGGGUAAUAGUCUACAAUACUACACAGAUUUAUUUAUAUCUUGAAAUAUGACGGAGUGUGUCGCUAAACACAAUUACUAAUGACCAAAUUAUUCAGAACUGAAUAAUCUCAUUUUUAAUCCUCUCUUUUUAUUGAACUAGGAUACGGUUGAACACAUAGUUUUUGGAAUAGAUAGGUUUGAACUUUCAAUAAGAGCACUAGACUGGAGGAUAAGUUUAUAGUGGGAGAUUGACUGACCCAUAAUGAAAAGAGCUGCAUUUCCACGAGCAAUGCAGAGAGUCAACAUUAAACUAAUAGGAGCACUUGGCCUAAUUGAUCAUAUCAUUUUCAUAGUUCAUAGGCAGAGUGCUAUUAUUGCAGUCGAAAUCGCUGACCAGAUUGAUACAAUUUUCUCUGAAAUCUUUCAUCAAGGAAAAUGAACCAAGUAUAUGAAACUCCAUAACCUGGUUCUCUAAUAAUCGACAUCAUACACCUAACUGUAAUCAGUCCUAUACCUAAUUGGUACGGGUUAGGUGUUUGUCUUAUAAACUGAAACCAAAUCCUCAGAAUUAAUCGCUAACUGAGUUUUUGUGGCCAAGUGUAAUCUGGCUUGAGUGCUUUAGUGAAACAGUUUGUGCUGUCAUCUUCACUGAACAAGAAUGAAGAGUUGCAGAAAGACUACCAAUUAGCUAUUCUAUAAGUGUUUCUGCGGACAUGUUCCAUGUUCAACUUCCCACGAUUAAAAAGGAAAGAGCUGGGGAAGUCUUUUCUUUCCUUUUCCCUUUUCACUCGGGUGAAAUUGCUAAUAAUGUAAAGCCUUGUGUAUGAAGGGUCUGUGGAAAAGGUAGAAUUUCGUGUUAGAACAGUUAGAUUGACAUGACUUAACCAACCGUUUCCUUACUUUGAUUUCUUCACAAUGUGACUUUUAUGGGUGAUUAGUUAGAAAGAGAGGUCAGUUCCUUCUAGGGUAGGGAUAUAUCAUUAGCAUUGCUGCAUUAGGCAUCAGGUACUUGUGAUCCACAAAAAGUAGAACUUGUAAGGUUGUGUUGUGUUCAAGGUUUAGUUUCGUUUUUAAUGGAUAGUCUGGUACAAAAAUCUAAUGGUUAUAAGAUAGUGAUACAGAUACUGAACCAACCCUGUCAUUAUUGUCUUCUUUGUUUCCCAGAAACUUGAAAAUUAGGCAUAUGGAUGAAAUGGGAUGGGUAGUUGCUUUCGUAUAGAAAAGGAAAAUAGCAAAAAGGAAAGGAAUUAAAAGGAGGGAAGAGUGCCAAAAGGAUUCAUGGCAUUAUGUGCAAUUUGGGUCCCCUAACAACUCAUCUUUACAUAAAAUGUGGCCUGAAUUGCUUGGUUGCACCAAAAUAUCUGUGUAUUUAUAAUUUCUUGAUUGGUAUGAGACACACAUGUGUUUGAUGUUGAUGUAUCUACCAAGGUGCUUUACAAUGCAAUUAGGUAUUUUCAUUUCAUUUCAUUCCACUAAGGUAAUCCUAUGAUCCAUAAGUUUUUUAUUGAGUUAGGACUUAGCACACUUUCCUGGUCUCUAAUUGCUCAAGUUAAUAUGUGUUACCCUAUCUUUUACCUAUGAAUCUAUGAUUAAUCUUGCUUCUUACAGUUUUUCUUCGUAAUUAUUGAAGGAGAAGAAAACAAGAAGAGAGCAGGAAAAUAUGAGGCAGGCCCUGCAGCUCAACUUGUGUGCAAGUUGCUUAGGUCCUUUGCUGGUGAAAGGGACAGCAAUUUGACCCUUGUGGAAUAUUUAUUCAAGUUUAUCUACUCAAUGGAGUCACUAAAAGAUCAAUUUUGUUGGUUUGUCUGCAACUCCAUUUCAGCUUAGGGCCCCUUCUUCAUUAAUCUUCAUCUUUUGAUCUAGAAUUUAGAUUUAGAGCAAGACCAACUAUACUGCCAAAGAUUUUUCUUCUAAUUUGAACAAAGAACCAGAGAGAAUGGAAGGCAAAGAGAUAAAGGAUGAUGUUAAUUUUACAGCUAUGUAUUUCACAUGAAGAUAUGUACAUGAACAACACAAACUCAGAGUACAUCAGAAGGAAUCUGUGCAUGCUGUUUGUUACAAGAAGGCAAAAUUAGUUUCCACUAGUACUAGUUUCCCUAUCUUACUGAGGAAACCCUAGAGUUGAGACUGGCCGGAUGGGGUUAGCUGUCAAAACUCAUUCGAGAGACGAUUGAAUCCAACCUCACUAUUCCAGCUUAUGCGAAAGGGUAACACCAUGGCGUAAGUGAACCAAUUCAAGUGCUCUCGUGGAAGUUGAGUGAUCUAGACAAGGCUGCUGGGUUGGCUAGCAUAGCCGGAGAGGUUUCAAGGACAUGUUUCUUUUGAUCACCCUUUGAUUGUGAUUGGAAGGCCUUAAACAGCCCUUUCCCGCUGCUGAUGCAAUCGUUCUUGAUCCCAAGUGUUGACCAUAUCGAACUCUUUGCAGCCUCACUUGGGUCAUCAAUCCUUAAUGUUUUCGGAACCAGAACACAUCCAUUUUUCUGUUUCGAUGGCUCUUCUUUCUCCAAGUGAACUUCUGGUCUGAGAAUCUCUCGCUCCCUUGAAUGCUUCCCCAGAAUUGGAGAACUUGAGGCAGAGUUUGGAGUCUUUUGGUUUGGAGAAGCAGGCUGUGGAUUGAACCAAGGAACUGGUACUUGGAAAGGGAUGCCACAAUUCCAAUAAGGUGCAGGAAACACUGGUAUAGGCAUUCCCGGAGGGGCAAAAGCCGGUGGGGGAACUGCGGAAUUCCAUUGAUACGGCCAAGGAACACCAGGAAGACAUGGAAUAUGUGAGGAGAAGCCAUUGGCAUUUGGAAUUUGUGGUUUCGAAGCUGUUAUAUCAUCACCAUUUUCUUUGUCCUUGCAAGGAGCUGGAAAUACUAAUUCUUCGCUCUUAUGGAAUCCAUUUCGAGUAGUACCAUUUAAGACCUUUUUAUUUGCAAGGUUUAAAACAGAAGCCAUGGAAUCACAGACUGGUGUAUCUACGCCAAAGCUAAGGACUCUGCCAUUGCUUUUCAAUCCGGGGUGGUGAGCUCCAUUUGGAGCAUCCAUUCGAGCUACUUGAAGAGCAUCGGAAAUUGUGAUCUGGCGAUAGUGUGAGGCAGAGUUCUUGUUCUUCCUACGACCAGCUCCUACAGGCACAUUCCUCAUUGUACCGCCUGCAGUCCAGUAUCUUUGACAGGCCUUGCAGAAAUGGCGUGGUUGAUUGACAUUGUAAUUGUUGUAGUAACAAAAUUUAGUGUCCAUGCUAUUGCAGCGAGGGCAUGGUAGUAUCUUGUCAGGCUUCUUCAGGGUUUUCUCUUUCGAGUUGGUUGCAUCAUUCUGUUCUUUCUCCUCCGGAGAUUUUGGUUUUGCGCUUUCUUCAUCGAUUGAGGGUGUUUUUGGGUUCACAUUACAUUCUGGUAGCAUUUCCAUACUGGUUGAGUCUUCAGUUUUUGGAGAAUCAUCUUGUUCUUCUAUGCUCUCAGUGGCUUUUGUUGAUGGUGAAUCCUGAAGUUUCACAAGUAUGCUUUAGGAACAAGUACUGAAAAAUCAGAACAGAAGCAACCAGUGUGAUAACACCUUUGAUUAAAAGAAAAUUAGGAAAAAUUGAGUCCUUUUUCUUUUGGUUUUUAGCUUCUCUGUAGUUUUCAUUGACAUAAUCAAAGCUAUUGAACAUUCCAGAUAUAGAUUGACAACUUGUGAAAUGAAUUCCAAGAAAAUUUAGGAAAUUAUUUUCACAGACUAGUGAAAAGAAAAAUAUCAAUAAUGAAAACAACAGCUUUCUUUCUAGCUUGUGGCUGUGAAGGUAUGGCUCCCUAACAGAUGGGAAAAGCAAGAAACCACUAAUUUCUAAUGGGGCAUUCAAACUAAACUAUGGGGGAAAUUCAAAUCUAAUUGAACUCAACAGACCAGAAGCAGAGAAAAGUAAGAUGAUGACUUAUCAAUUCAUUGAAGCAAAACAGAGUGAUGGAAACAGAUAGUUCUUCAAGCUUUCCACUUUCCAAACACAAAGACUCGAAACAAUUCCCAAGUUCAAAACAAAAACAGUAGUGAGGCAACAGUUUGCAGAAGUAAGAUUAACCCAUGAAAGCUCUCGGCAUUUCGACAAAAGGAUCCCUCUUAGAUUUUCCAAAACACACCUCCUCUCUCUCUCUCAGAUUCACACAAACAAGUGUAUAGAAGCUAGUGUGCAUGUACGUUACCUUGUCUUCUACAUCCUCUUCUUGAUUAUCAACUCGCGAUCGUUUUUCCUCUCUGGCCAGCGAAGUAAACCUCAAGUCCUCGUCGUCGGCGCCGGCCGGAAGCGGAAUCUUCAUGCCGAAAAGCUUGAUCGCCGGGUCCUUAGCUUCGAGCAGCAUGUUGUUGUUUUUUCUUUUUCUUGUUGUUGACUACUGUAAAAAACGCGCGAGUUCUUUCUUUCUCUCUCGCUCUGGCUUUGGCUCAAGGAAUGAGAUUUUGAUCCGUUUAAACUUUAAACAGAAACACAGAGAGAGAGAGAGGGUGGAUGCCACAUCAGCCAAAGGGUUUGAUUCUGAGCCACAAGUUCUUGUGGCCUCCAGAUUUUCUUUUUCAUUUCUUUCUCUCUCUACUCCUAAUUUCUUAAUACUUGGAUUCUCUCUCUCUUUAACCGGGAGCUGCUUCAGCUGCAUGCAAAUUCGGUGCUAUCCAACAUCGACCUUUUUCAAUUCAUGGGAGCUUGUAUGUAUACUCGAUCGGUUUAAAGUUGAUUCUAACUUUAGUAAUUAAAAAACAUUUGGAAUUUAUAUAAAUCGCUUUAUAUUGCAUUUGUCAAAAGAAUUUAAAAGUAUUUGAGUUAUAUAAGUGUAUGUUCUUUAAGGGGUAUCAUUCUAAGAAUCGACACCACGUGUGUUUGAGCUUAUCGGAAUAAGCACUUCAAAUAACAUAAAACACAUGUGUUGAGAAAAAUAACGUUUAACGCUAGAACUUUUGCAAUUGGAAGAAUUUGAUUUGGAAAAGCAUCUCUUCAUUUCUUCGAUAUCGAGAGUCAGGUUUGUUUUGAGGGUUUGCGGUAUUUUGGUAACUAGCUAUAGAACUCAGGUCAUGCCUACUAGUAUGUAUUUCAAAUGAAUUGUCCGUCAAGAUAAAAUAAUUUGCUCGUUUAAUGAUUAAUAAACGAGAUAUUAAUUUAUUUUGAUCAAAGAACCAUCCUAUUGUGCAACUUAGUCUCUAAACCAAAAAAAGAGAAACAAUGUAAAAAAAAAAAAAAAGUCUCCAAAUGAUUUAUAACAAGCCCAGUACCGUUUGGUCUAGUGACAUAAGUCUCUCCUUAUAAGUGAAAUGUCGUCAGUAUUAUGACAUAUUAAUUAUGUAUUUAAUAAAAUAAAAUAAAUACUUAUAACAAAUAAGAGAUUUUUCUAUCAAAAAAUCAGAGAACGUACACUUGCACCAACAUGGCAACAUUAUUGUGUUCAAUAACAUCAGUGUACUUUCCGAUAGACAGUUGAAUGACAAAAAUUGACAUAUUUAAGGAGUUGAAAUCACUUAAUAGAUACUUAGCCACAUGUAAUGUCGAUACAUAACGAUAAUUUAUCCCUUUUGAUCAUAGAAAGAACAACAAGAAGAAGAAGAAACCAGCUCUUCCAACGUUAAACAUGUUUAAUUUAAUAAAAAAAAAAAAAAAAAAAAAACGUUAAACAUGUUUAAGUGAGAACUGGGAAGCCUACCUAAGUUCCCUUUAGAUACUCAACACGUAUCCUAGUGCGCAACACGUGUAAGGCAUCCACCAGUUCAGCUCCACGCUUAAUUUUUUUCUAACUUCGAGAGGCUGACACGCGUCCCGUGUUAGUGGAGUGGGAUUUUUUUUUAAAACGUGAUUAAGUACGAUGUACACUCACUAAAAGCCUAAAGGUCAUAUUGACCCUUGGAACUUUGGAUCAGGAUAAUCACAUAGUUGAUACCCCCAAUUAGACUAUCUGAUUAAACAAGCCUAAUUCUAAAGAAAAAGUUAUAAGAGUUGAGUUGUUAAAUGUCGAAUGGCCCGUGGGCGGCUCAGAAUGGUGUUUAACAUGAUUUAAAAUUAAGAUAAUUAUGCCUGGUAGUUUCAUUUUGAUUUUGACAGGAUGAUUAAUUAUGUUAAGCAAGUGAUUAGGAUGGAAAUUAGAAUAAGGAAUUUCAUGGUCAUUUGUUGUUUAUUAUUUGAGCAAGUUUGCUUUCAAAUGCAAGCUAUGAUUAAUUGAUUAGGAACAUCUUAUGAAACCCUUUUCUAGUGAUGCAUUCUACAAGCCCAAUGGGUACUCUUCCCCAUUGACACACGGUGACUAUUAAGGUUUCUGAAGCCCAAUUUAUCAGCAUGUCUUUUUUAGUCGACAGCCCAAAGAGAAAUUGAAAAGAAUAAACUUGUACUACUUCCUUGAUCAUAUCUGGCACUUCACCAUCAAGAAUUUCUUUUGAUGCUUCUGUCCAAACUAACCGGUCUGCUAUUGGGUUUUGUUCCGGGAUGUUACUGGUAAUUCAUUGACGUCAGCUGUCAGGCAUAUUGGAGACACUUCGAUAUUGGUGGUUGAGGCUACAGCUUUUAAGGAAGCUUUACAUAUAGCGUGGUUGUAAAGAUUCUCUCAUGUGCUGGUGGAAGGAGACUCAAAGAUUAUAAUUGACUGUCUUAAUGAGAAGGCUUCUACUCCAUGGUGUGUUCAUUUUGUCAUUCAAGAUAUUUUGUGGCUCACUUCCCAAUUUCAAGCUAUUGUUAAAUCCGACAUGUUCAUCGUGAAGCAAAUUUUGUGACGGACAGGUUAGCCUCGUUGGGCAUUGUAGCAUCAUCUCUUUUAGUUUAGUUUUACUACUUAUCUUAUUUUGUGUACCUAGCGUUCUAUUUGGAUCAGUUGAGGAGAGGUAUGUCUUCUUAGAAGUUUCGUGUUGUAGUUUGUUUUAUGUAAAACUUUCUUUAUUUAUUGAAAUAAAUUUUUUUUGUUUUUUUUUUGCUCGUAUGGGAGCAGCAAUGCUGGAAGCCCAGGAGAGAAUAAUCGAUCAAAGCGAUGCAUGAGUGGAUCUUAGUGAAUUGUAACAUCAAGAAUCAAUUUUGUCACUUAUAUAUAUACUAGUCUCAUACCUAUACGACACGACCCAUGAGUCAUUGGUUCAGUUGUUAUUAGCAUUUUAAAUUAUUUUUGUUGUAUUAAUAUGUUAUUUCUAUUUAUUUUAUCAAAAAUAUACAGUAUAUUUAAUGAUUUUAUUAUGAGAUUUAAUCUUUUUCUAGAUUCAAGUCAGGUAAUCCACAGUCUGGUGAAACUUAAUAAAACUAUAGUUAAACAGUCAUGACAAUUUGUUUGCUCCGAGAAUUUCACUAACGGAAUUUAUAUUUUGUGUGGAUUCACGGAUCGAGCUCCAUUUUUCUAUGAAAGUUUUGGGAUUGUGCAUGUCUCAAUCUCCUAGCGUGCGAACACUGAUCGAAACUCAGUGGAAAUAAGAGAAAUUGUUGGUGAUCGAUGGAAGUACUUAUUUUCUUUAGAAUGACGAUGUCUUCUUGCUCCCUUCUAAUUCAUUUAUAAAGAAAACUUGGCAUCAUAUGUAGGAAAGGCGAGAAAAAUUCCUCUGAAUUAUCACGCCAUAACCACAUCUUCAAACCUCCUCAAUCCCUUUCUGGUCUGAUAAUCCCAUGGAUACCUAUACAAGUGUGAUCAUAUGUUGUGAAAGGAUUGACUAGCUUGAGAGGGUAUAUACCAGCUUCACUGUACCAGAUCCCAUCAGAAUGGGUUGACAAUAUAUAAAGCUAGCAUGAAUGCAUGAUGAAGUGCUGCCAAUUAAGCAGAAAGCAGUGCUUCUGAAAAUUCAGUGUGCCCUUAUUUGACGCCUUUAGCUUUUGUAACUUUCUCAACCAUUUCGGAUCGUAAGGCUUUAAGAGGUUCACAUUGUUUCCUACUUAAUCAGUAUUAUAACCUUUGGCUUGAAUUGGCUGUUACAUCAGCUAACUUAGUUUGCCUAAUCCACGAUCCUACUUUUACAGACAUAUCAUAAUUUGGAAACCAUAUACAUAAGUGGGCGGUGACCAACCAAACCUUUGAUAAGUAUGAAGUCAAACAAUAUAUAGAUCUCAAAAGCUAAACAGAUCAAUCCUAAUUCUUCUACGUAACUAGUUCAAAAAGAGUAUAAUUCUCAUCAGUUUCAUUUACUAAUCGUAAUAAUUAAACAAAAGCUCAUUCGAUUCAUAACCCUAAAACCUAAUUAAGGAUGCUGCUUGAGCUAGGCACAGUGUGUUCACUUCGAUAUUCUCAUGUAGAAACUAAAACACAAAGUUGGUAUUACAGAUUUACAAUAUAUAUGAGGUAGUCGAUCUGGUAGUCUUUUAAAAAUUUUGCUUGGAAUAUGGGAGGAAAUUUCCAGACUGCAAAUAUUAGUUUUAUGACAGUAACUUUUUCAUGCAUGUAUUUUAGAGAAAGAAACUUCCAUGCUGCCCAGCUCGCAAAAGGGGUGUGACUUGUGAGUGCGAGUCACUCCUAAAUUAUAAAACGAGCAAAUUGUCAUUUGGGAAUUACCAAACACUUGUACAUCAUCUUAAACUACACACACCUCAAUCUCAAACAGAUCUAUUUUUUUAGUGACCUAACACCACCCAUAUAUCAUCUGCAUAUGCUCUACACAUAUAAUCCAAUUCAACCAGAUCUUUCUUAUACGUUUCUUGCUAACCAAGGUAUUAGUCAACCAAGUCAUACUUGAAUCCCAAACUUUGCACCACAUUUAGUGGCUGUUGUUUAUUGACAAGCCCUUUGCUUUUACUGGAUUUCUCUCUUGCAUUCGAUUCAGUAUCAUUGUAUUGAGCUCCAAUUAUGAAUCCCACUAAGACCCUUGUUCACAAAACCCCCAACUUAGUGCAUGAUCUCUCUCAAGUCUUGCCACCCCAUCAUUCUUGUGUCACCCUCCACUACUAAUUUGCACUACUACUUACUGUGUAUGCAGCUACCUAGCUAGUGUGUCUCCCUCUUUCUAAUUUCGUGUUCAACAUUUAAAUAUCAAAUUCCACAGCCACGAUAGACAUGCAUCAUUCAUGGCUCAUUUCAAACACUGUGAUCGAUUUGCAAAUUGCAAAAGGUUGGAAACGCGUACGGCCCCCACGAAACGAACUGUGGUUUCUUUCCUCCUUUUUGACUUUAAACACUAUAAUUGUUUUUUCCACAGCACAAAACAAGGUCCAGAUAGGAAACCCACAGUGUAAUUUCAUGUAUAAAUUGAGUACUACUGCCUUUUUUUGGAUCAGACGACUCAACAUUCAUUCACAGUUUCACACAGGCUAGCUUGCUUCUUCCUGCUGCUUACUUCAAGAUCAUCAGCAAUGGCUAGCAGUACUACUCUCCUUCGUCUACUUGUUAUCUUGUUAGGGUUUUCUCUCCUCAUCUGCGCUAAUGCUGUCCCAGUUACAAGUAAUUUUCUUAUAUUAACCACCUUUUCUCAUACAUUCUCGUUCUUCUUCUACUUUGAUCUUCUUCUGACUUGUUACUUUUGCUUGCAGGAAUCGGAGGCCUUAAUAAGCAUAUCGGACCUGAAGUUCAUCAAACCGUUGCAGAGAAUAACAAGCCGGUAUAUAUAUAUUGACUCGAUUGACAAAAUGGUUUUCUAUGUCAUAUAUAGUGAGGUUCAACAUCUUCUUUCUGUCACUAAUAUUGUAGUUAAUUUGUAUAUUUGAAUUCAGAUGACAACAGAGAUGAGAUUUUCUGAGAGGAUGGAUGUGGAGCUUAAUGACUAUCCGGGAUCAGGGGCCAACAACCGCCACACUCCGAAGCCUCAAUAUGCGAGAUGUGCUGAUUGCUAAAUUAAGAAGAAUAUUUCUUCAGUUGCAAGUGUUUAUUUAUCUGCAUGUGGAUUAGAUCUCUCUCUUGCAUGAUCACUGAUUUUAAGUUUAUUAUUGGGCUGAAAUUAGAGGGGAAUGACUGUAACAGUAGGAGUAGAUGAACUAGGUGAUCGAGGUCUGGAUUAGUAUACAUAUAUAAUUAUAUAUGUACCAAGAGGAGUAUGCAUGGAUGGUCAGAGUAGUAUUGAAAUAUGAACAUCAGUACUGUACUGAAAUGGAUGUGAAAGAUCUAGCUGCUUUCUAUCUAUAUAAAUCCAGUGGAUAAAUUGGGCAGUUUAUGCAUGAUUUCAAAUCCUAUAUAUGUUCCAGUACGUUUUUUUCUGUAUUCCGGUGAUUCCCUCAUUUCCCUGCAGUUUAUGCUGGCUUUUUACGUACUAAGAUGAUCAAGGUACAGCUAGUAAAUGUGAAACUAGAACAGAAAAUUAAGACCAACGUAAAGUUAUAUAAUAGCCAAAAGGAUGAGAAGUUGAGAACUGCUUUGCUCUUUGUUCGUUUUCUUUUUAGUUCCUACAGGCUGUUAACUUGUUAUUGGAGAAAUAACCAAUUCCUAUAGAAUGUCAAAUAGUUAACAACUAGACGUAAUGGCCUUAAACAAGCAUUUGAGGCAAAUGAUCCAAAGCAUAUAUAUAAACCAGACGUCGUGUCUAAAUAUCUCAAAGCAAUAUGGAUCUCAAAGCAAGUGGAGUAAUUGUUUUCUGGUAGAUUUCCACUUUGAUUGCCACUAAGUUGAACAUUGCUGGAAAGCUUGCAAGCACAAAGUUUGUAAUGGAAUCCUUUAGUUAUUCAAACGUAUCUGUUAUCUUCCAUAUCCUCUAUCUAUAUAUAAUAAGCAGCCAUGUUGGAGCUAUAUAUAUAAACAACAUACGCUGAUCGAUCUUAAAUUCUUAAUAGACAAAAGUUAAAUUUAAGACAAAAGUUAAACUAUAUCCAAGUAACUGAUACAGAAGAAGAGAGGGGGUAUAAAAAAUAUUAAAAAAUUCAUUUGCUGAGAAUCGAACUUGGGUUCGAAGUUUAGAGCAAACUGAACUGCACAUCCACUGAUCCACCUUUUAGACGAUUCCCUUUAGCCAUUGUUAAAAGACGAUACUAACCUUCAUCUGAGAAGACUCGCCGUCAUCGGGUCUUGUGAGCCAGACUCUUGUAGCGGCGGCAUCCGACCACCCAGACUAGGCCAGACAUCAGCCGAGAUACGGGAUACGGCCGUAUAGGCGUCAUAUACUGCCGGAUACGUUCGGAUAUGCCAGGAUACGAGUACGGGUACCGAAGGGUAAAAAAGACAUUUACUAUAUAGGUUUGAAACAAAAGCAAACACAACGACGUCGUCUUCACAAUCCCCAAAUUCGAAUUGGGCGAACUCUGCAACCAGCGAAAUCAAAACCCCCACACUCUGGCGAAACCUAGAGUCACGAUCGAAGCCUCAACCCACAUCACAGAACCGCCGUAAUUCGCAGAAACCAAUCUCUCAAGGUAAAAUUGUCAAACCUCACACUCUUUCUCGAUACAAUAUUAGCAAAACCCUAACAUUAUCAAUUUGGGGGUUUCGUCGUUGACUUCAAAUUUGCUCUGUUUCUCUCAAAUUUCUGAUCCAAGAUCACAACUUUAACCCCAGAUGUCUAACGCCAAGAGAACCCAGCUCGAUUCCGACGCUGACCACGGCGACGAUGACGUCAUCAAGUUCCAGAAACUAGGGACUGUGGAUUCGUCCCCGUCAGCCGCCGGAGAGCAACCCCUGCCGGAGUAUUUUUCUUUCUCUCCGCGGCGGCCGAGAGUGGUCCUCACGCCGGAUCAGCACAAGUGGUGCUCCCAGGCUCUCAAGGUGUUCAAAGACAAGCUAGACAAGCCUGGCCUGAUCAGCCGGGAGUUUGAUGAGCUGUAUGAGCGAGCUGUGGUUGAGAAGAGCUGCAAUGUGGGUCUCAGCAGUGCCAACUGGAGGAAGAAUCGGUACGACGAGAUCUUGCCGUUUGAUGAAAGCAGGGUUGUUCUGAAGGGGAGGUCUAACAGUAGUGGAGGUGACUACAUCAAUGCCAGCUUUGUGACGACUAGCGCGUCUCGUUUCAUUGCUACGCAAGGUCCACUUCCGAAUACUUACGAGGAUUUCUGGGAGAUGGUGAUGCAGUACCGGUGCCCUGUUAUCGUUAUGCUUACUAGAUUGGAUAGCGGUAAGUGUGGAGACUAUUUUCGAGCAGAGGAUGAAAGAGAUUUUGGAAAUGUGUGUAUUGUCACUAAGUGGAUUGGAAGUAGUGAGUCUGGUGGGAGUAGUUCUUCGUUAGUGUUGAGGCUUUUGGAGGUGAGGCGUAAGGCGGGGUCAGAGGAGCCGCCUGUGUCUGUGUUGCAUAUUCACUAUCCUGAAUGGCCUGACCAUGGAGUUCCCGCGGACACGCAUGAUGUUCGUGAUAUUUUGAAAGGAUUGAUAUAUCAAGUGGAGCCACCGGAGCUUGGCCCGAUUGUGGUGCAUUGUAGUGCAGGUAUUGGGAGGACCGGAACAUACUGCACGAUUCAUGAUACAAUGAAGAGAAUUCUAUCUGGGGACAUGUCUGCUUUGGAUCUUGUUGGUACAAUAGCCACAUUCAGGUCUCAGCGAGAUGGAAUGGUCGAGACUCUGAAGCAAUAUCAGUUCUGUUAUUCUGCCAUUGUUGAUGAAUUGGAGGACCUCAUCUCGAAUCAUGGAGAUAGCAAUUGAAUAAUGGAGUUCAGAUCAAAAGAGGCAGCUGCAUCAAUUACAUUGCUCAUUGUGAUCAUUUCUUUCCUGGUGAAUAUUUUUCUUACAUGCUUUUAGCCAUUGUUAGUUUCUUAUUGAAUGAAGUAAUCUUUUGCCAACCAGUUCCUUCGAAAUGUCAUUACAUUAUGUAAUCGGUUAAUGCUGCCAUGUUAUAUAGCUGUAAAUGCAGCACAGAAAUGAAAGAUUCUUAUUCCAUGUUCUUAUAGCAUUGCUUGGAUCCUUGGACUAUUCUUAGGUCAGGAACUAGAUAAUCACAUAGGUUGGUGCUGUUCUCUGUUCUGUACAUGUUAUGACCAAAGAAUUUCUAUAUUUUAUAUGAACAUGCUAGAAAGAAGGAACAUACAGAAUUUUAACCCUGUAAUACAAAUACGGACAGAAUCAGUCUCACUUCCUUUUGCUUAAAUCAAUCUGCCAAUAAACUCGCCAGGGAUUUCCAGAAAAACCAAACCUAGGUGGUUUUUGGUUGAACCAAGUUGUCCCAACAUUUCAAGUAAAUCAGGCUCUUGUUAUAUCUGAUGAUAGUCCAGUUAAUGAUCAUUGUUAUUGAACACUUCACGCGUUUCACAGAAUCAAUACUACUACUAGUACCAUGUCUUAGAUCCAAGAAGAUUGCAACAGGUUCAUUUUCACUGCUGUUAUUAUUGCGGAUUCGAUCUUUGAAAACUUCGGUUUGGAUUUGGUAGAGUUGGUGUACUUCAUUUUGACUUGCAAAGUAAUUGCAUUGAAUAAGCAUACAGGAAUUUUAGGAUGUAAAAUUGAUGGUAGACAACUUCAAACAUACAUGUAACUUAGCAAGCUACAACCACCAAAAGCUGAUGUAUCGAUCCAUAUGUCAUAGAGUUUUCUGGUUUUCCCUUAUGUUAGUUUGGUACAGCUGUACAAUACAAUUCAUGUAACAGGUCACGAUUAUAUAAUAUUUGAGUUUAAACCUGAUGGAGAUUAAUGCGUGUUUGGAACAAACUACUAUAGGCUUUAUUAAAAAGAAAAACCUUGAACAAUAAGAACUAAGAAAAAUACAUAUUUCUGUUUACAAACCGGAAGGAAAAACUGUGUAAUCAUCCCCAAGCAAGAAACUGUGUUAUGAAAUAAUAAGCAGUACACCUGAUUAAUCAAGUGGAAUGCACACUCCGACUUAAUUUAAGUAUUCAUUCUUCAUGUCUUUGUUACUCCUGAUCUGGGGAUGGAGCAAUUGCUGGUGCUGAGGAAGGAGCAUUGCCCUGAUCGACACGCGUGAAACCGAAUUUCUUGAUGAGCUCAGUGGCAAUAAGCUGGUUAGCGCUAUCUGACGGGUGGUACUCAUCCCAGAAUACAUAUUUACUUCUGUCUUUGCAUAGUACUGAUGCAGGCACACAUGUAAGAGCCGGUCUUAUUCUUCCGAAUGAGCAGCAUGGUGAGUCUGAAUUACUGAAUCCUACAAAGGUUGAAGUUAAAUCCAAAAAAGAAAGUUAAAGAUAGAAAAUUUCAUUAUCAGAAUAAGAACAUAGUGAUGACAAGCACAUAAAAAUACCAUAUUUGCUUGGAUUGCUGAUCACAUUAUUGACAACAUCAUAAGCAUCACCAAAUCUGUAGCUGGCGUUAGGAAGUUUGGCGUUCAAAUCGUCCAUUAAUUUGCUUCCAGCUUUGUUGAAGCUGAGAGCUAAUUUGUUUGUUCUAUCUACACAAUCCCCAGAUGUACUUAGGACCCUCUGUAGUGGGAUACAACCCAUUGGUCCUAAACCAAACACCAUCAGCUGCCUUGCCCCUAAAGCAUGCAACAGCUACUCAAAAGAACACAAACAUACACACACAAGUUAGAAGAACAUAAUAAUAUCAUCAACAAGCAGAGAAGAACUAGCUCUAGCUUGAUCAGUAGAAAUGUAGAAUCAACCUGAAGUUGUGCCUUCAGUGUUUCCAUCAAGUAGUCGAUGAAGCUUUGAUCGUUGUAGUUCCAAGAAUCGCUAUAGACUGGCAUCAAAUAAUUGUUGAUGAAGUCAUUGCUGCCUAAAGCGACAACGUAACGAGCUCCUUGGAAAUACUUGUCUGCUGCCUCUUUGCCAAUUUUGCUCUUUAUCAAUGUUUGUGUCCCUAUAAACAGCUCGAUCUGCUUGGAGAGUGAAAACCUUUGAAUCUGCAAAUGGUUAAUUUGACCAAGAGCUUAGGAGGGUACAUGUAUAUAUAGUUAUAUAUCUGUUUAUUUAGGAUUGCAAUCAACUUACAAAUAAGCCACCAGUUUCAUUCAAGAUUCCACCACCUCCAGAAGCAUAGUUCACUCCAUUUUGGAGUAUCAUAUCUUCGGUUAAAGAUGGGUCUAGAAAUGCAGGUGGCCUCGGGAGACCCAUGUUAUCACCUUAAUGAAAGAAACAAACAAGUAUAAUCAGCAUCAAAAUUCAAAAACCAACAUAAACAUAACCAACUUUUUAAAUCAUAGCCCCCAAGCAGUGCUCGAGGCUCAAACUCUCUCGAGCACUACUUUGCAGGGUCAGACAAAGGUGUUACCUAUAAUAUCAGCAACUGUUCGACCAUUAGAGAAUCUCCCAUUAGGCAAACCAUUGCCAAAAUCAAUACCAUACCAGGGGAGGCUUGCUUGGGCGAGGCUCUUGCUCAAGUACUUGUUGUUUCCAACAUCAGAGAGAGAAUCGCCAAAUAUGAACUGCACCACUUUGCAGCUGUAACCAUCGAUCAGGAUGGCAAAGAUGGUCACAACCAACACUGCUACUCCCACAUUGAGCUUCAUGGUUUGAUAAUAAUCAAGCAGAUAUGUUGUAUAGGUCUUAUUUCCCAAGUAGAGGGAAGAUGAAUUUUUCUUGGAUUUGAAUACAUGUGCAGGCUGGGGAUAUAUACGAGUGAGGGAAUGUUUUCAGAUUUCAGAGAAACAGAGAGGGUAGUUUAGCUUGUUGGAUAUACCAACUCAACUACCUUGAUUUUGGUUACAAGUUAUAUACAAAGUUACAACGUUAUCAGUCUGAAAAUGCCAUAUGUUAAUCAUAUAUAGUAAUGUGAAAUGUAAAGGCAUGCUUGUGGGUUCACCUACUCAUCUAGAUUUCUUGAACCGGAAUAUCAAGUAAUUGGGAAUCUCUAGCUCUUUCAACAUGUUGGGCAAACCAUAUAUGUGCCUAUGGAGAAUGCACUCUCUAAGUGAUGAAGUUAAGUGAUCUGCAUUUCUAUCAAGUAAUGUUGUUGAGAUUCAAUAUGUAUCUAGGAAUGCUAAUAUGGUAGUUGAUUCUAUUUCAAAGUUUGUAGCCCGAUUGCAGGGGCUUUAUUCAUGGUUAGGGGUUUGACCCGAUUGGCUCAUGGAUGUCAUUGUUAAUGACGGACCCGUGACUUGUUCGAGUAGGAGGGAUGAGAGUGGAGAAGUUGCUUUCACCACCGAUAAUUCCCAAGCGUUGUAAUUCUAUUUUCUUGUUUUGAAUAAAAUUCUGAUGUUUCCUCCUAAAAUAAAGAGUUCAACGCCCCCAAGGCCCCAACAUUUCCUUCUUUUCAUAUCGUUCAAUUGUCUUUUAAACAAUUCUCGAACCAAAAAGAAUUUGCUUCUAAAAAUUUGUGUUCCCUUUUUCUAGAAUAGGAAGAGAUGUACCCAUUUUUUACCAAUUUGAUUGUGCGACUUUUCUUCGUUUGAUCUUCUAUUGUUAUUAAUUAAAUCAUACGCUGUUAGCAUCUUACAAAUCAUGUCAACCUACAAUUUGCUUGAACAAGCAAUGAUUUCCCUGAUAUUAUUCAUUCCAACUCAUUAGUACAACCACCUAACUAAACUAGAGUCGCACUUUGGUUAAUAAACUUCGUUCAUCAAUUAUUAGGAAAACUUUGCAAUACCAUUUACGACGGUUGUACACAGAGACAAACUAAGUUUAACUUUUCUUCAAAGAUAGAAACUAGAAAGUAUAGUUGUUCUAUGACUUUAACAUUAUCAAUUCAGUAUGAGCUCAAAUCGAACCCUAAUCAGUAUAUUAGGUAUGAUCAUAUAUGUUGUUGAGGAGGGUCUAACUUGUAAUAUAUAGAGAAACUUGUUUCUACCGUUGUACUGUUAAACAACGACAAACGUCGUCUGUAGAUCAUCCUUGUAUCGAUAUUGUCCUAACUUAAUUACAUUUUAUCUUUAAGGUGUUGAGUUUUAAUUACAAAAUAAUUCAAUACAAUUAGGUAUAAUCUCACAUAUAAAUUAUAUUUUAUUUAUUAUUUUUUGAUACGAAAUUUCUCAUCUUCCACGUGUACUGAAAAAUUUAUCUAGGAAGGUGGCUGUCAUAAUUUCAAUCUUGUCCGAAAUCGAAGUCCCUUCAAAUUUUAGGCUUAAAACUUACCGUUCUACAAAGCUCCCAGUAACUAGACAAAAACUUGAUGACGUGGCAGAUUCUCAGUGGUUGCAUGUAUGAUACUGCCGACCCCAUCAACGUGGCAGCAACUCGUCCCCAAGAAACUCCAAAACAGUAAAAUCAUAAAACUCCAAACAAAAACCAAACCCGAAAAUCUAUCCAGAUAUCCCCAUAAGAUCCCAGCCCUCCAUUCCCCCUAAUCCAACGGCCACCUCCCCCUCUCAUAUCCCAAACCAUAUCUCCCUAAAAGAUAAACCUUCACACUCCCUAGCUCCACCACUCACUCCACUCUCUCCACCACCCAAAAUGGCCUCCAUCGCUCUCAAAUCCUUCGUCGGCCUCCGCCGCCACUCCGCCGUCGAAAGCCCCAACUUCACCUCCCAGUCCAAACCCAUCUCCUCGUUCCCAUCAACUCCCCGAACUUUCCGCGUCCUCGCCGCCAAAACCAGCCCGAAAGUCGCGGGCCGGAACCUCCGGGUCGCCGUCAUAGGCGGUGGCCCCGCCGGCGGAGCCGCCGCCGAGACGCUGGCCAAAGGCGGCGUCGAGACGUUUCUCAUCGAGCGGAAAAUGGACAACUGCAAGCCCUGCGGCGGAGCCAUCCCGCUUUGCAUGGUGGGGGAGUUUGACCUGCCGUUGGAUAUCAUUGACCGCCGCGUCACCAAGAUGAAGAUGAUAUCGCCGUCCAACGUGGCGGUGGAUAUCGGGCAGACGCUGAAGCCGCACGAGUAUAUUGGGAUGGUGCGGCGCGAAGUGCUGGAUAAUUACUUGAGGAAUAGGGCGAGUGAGAAUGGGGCCAAUGUGAUUAACGGGCUGUUUUUGAAGAUGGAUAGUCCGGUAAAGGGAGAUGGGACGUCGCCGUAUGUGUUGCAUUACACCGAGUAUGACGGCAAGGCCGGCGGGGUUGGUGUCAAGAAGACUUUGGAGGUUGAUGCUGUGAUUGGAGCCGAUGGGGCUAAUUCUAGAGUGGCCAAGUCUAUUGAUGCUGGUGAUUAUGAGUACGCCAUUGCGUUUCAGGUAAUUUGAGACUUUCACAUUCUUUUGAUUUGAAAUUGGGUCUUGCAUGUUGGGAAUUGCUGUGUAAUGAGCUAGAAUGCGUUUAUAUAUUGGACUAGUUUGCAGUGAGUUAGCUGAUUUUGUGUCGAAAUUAGUUAAAAUCUUAGUGCUUGAUAGAGAAGCCUGUUGCUUAGGGGUAAGGCGCUCAUUGUUGUUAAGUUGUUGGUUUUUGUGUGUUUCAGGAGAGGAUCAAGAUCCCUGAUGACAAAAUGGUGUACUACGAGAACUUGGCAGAGAUGUAUGUAGGUGAUGAUGUGUCACCGGACUUUUACGGGUGGGUGUUCCCAAAGUGUGAUCAUGUGGCAGUGGGAACAGGCACUGUGACUCACAAAGGAGACAUCAAGAAGUUCCAGCUAGCAACAAGAAACCGUGCCAAGGACAAGAUUUUAGGCGGAAAGAUUCUACGAGUGGAGGCACAUCCGAUCCCUGAGCACCCCCGCCCACGAAGGCUAGCGGGGAGAGUGGCGCUAGUCGGUGAUGCAGCCGGGUAUGUGACUAAAUGCUCGGGUGAAGGUAUCUACUUUGCAGCAAAGAGUGGAAGGAUGUGCGCAGAAGCGAUAGUUGAGGGAUCAGAGAAUGGGAAGAGGAUGAUAAACGAAGGAGAUUUGAGGAACUAUUUGGAGAAGUGGGACAAGACUUACUGGCCGACUUACAAGGUGCUCGAUAUCUUACAGAAGGUGUUUUACAGGUCGAACCCGGCGAGAGAAGCGUUUGUGGAGAUGUGUGCAGAUGAGUAUGUGCAGAAGAUGACCUUCGAUAGUUAUUUGUACAAAAGGGUGGUGCCUGGGAACCCAUGGGAGGAUUUGAAGUUGGCUGUGAACACCAUUGGGAGCUUGGUUAGGGCUAAUGCACUUAAGCAAGAGAUGGAAAAAAUUGGUGCUUAGAAAGCAGGCAUUGAAAUUUGUCUAAAUUUUUUCCGGUCUUAUGUAAUAAGUACAAUCUCAUUGGAACCAAGAUUGAGUGUAAUUUUAUAUUGUAUUACAGAGACUCAGAGAAUUUGUAGUUAUAAUGUAUGUGGUAAUGAAUUGUUUUGGUAUGCGAGUAAGAGGGUGUAUUUGUAGUUUGCCAUGGUUUGCGUUGAGUUUUAACGACUAUUAGCAUCUUUCUCACUUCUACUCGUGUGGUUAAGUUGAGACAAUAUUGGUACAAAGAUGAUCCACGAGUCACGUUUGUUGUUGUUUGAUAAGGUUCACUCAAUAGGUAGCUUAGUAUUAGUAUUGCGUUUGGCAAUUUAUGUCUGAUAACGUGGUUUAUCCAUGACAUUGUAUUUCUUUGACUUCUAUGACAUUAUAUUUCUUUGACUUCUUGUAUAAGUGAAAACAUACAGAGUCAUAGAGGUAUAUUGAGCAAAUGUCCAACUUUUGUAUGCAAUGAAAUUGUCAAAGAGACAGAGAGACGAAGAAGAGAGAGUGCGGAGAAAAAAGAAAAGGGGGCAGCGGCGCAUCAUCUCAAACCCUUAUAUAUACCGGCAUCAACGACAACACUGUCGAAACAAAGAAAAGAGUGACAACAACAUCAUUUCACGCAAUCAAUUUAAACAGUGUCGUAAACUAUAAACCCUAAACUCACAAAUAACAUAGUGGAUUUAUAGUUUGAGGAUUUACGUACAACAUUGCGCCAUCAUACAAACAUGACCCUGUGACGAAAAAAUGAUGUUGUGUGCUUUCAUUUUCUUCUACCUAAAAAAUCUAAAAAAUUGACAUAGAAUGGAAAAGUGAUUGCCUAGACAAAUCGAGGCCGUCAAUAGCAAAUAUCAGAGAAGCAAAAGGAACAAAUAGAGAAGAUUCGAUUGCAUAUUGGCAAAUUGAAAUAAAGAAAGAAAAAGCCGUGUGGUAGGAGUUGGAAAAACUGGGGGUGGAUUCGUCCGAGGCCCAUCGACGGAGUUUCUCACAUCUUUCAUUUAACAAAACCCGACAACACUACAAAACCCACGCACGCUUUAUAGUCCUCUUCCUCAAUUUCGCCUUCCUCACUCUGUCUCUCUGAACUCUUCUCUGUCUCUCUAUCUGGUUGUUGUGGCCGUUCAACAACUCCAAAGGUUAGCUUCCUCCUCUACUUUCACGAUUCGAUGUCGUUUCAUUUUGCUCUAAGAGAUCUGUGGGCUCUGGUUUCAGAUCCGGUGGGCUCCAAGCUCUAAUCUUUUUCUUCGUUUCUUGCUUUCUGAAACUGAUAACUGAUUCAAAUUGUGAUAUUUGAUUUAGGGUAUUUUGUCUGAGCUCAAUUAAGAUGCAAAUAUCUGUGCUUUUUGUGUACGUGAUAUUGGGUUUGGGGUAAUUUUGUUAAAAAUAUGUGCUUUUUUUGUGCGUGUUAAAGAUGGCAGCAAAGUUUAGAUUUUUCUUGUGUAAUACAGGGUGUGAGAGAUGGCAGCAACAGCAGCAGCUACCUUUUCCGUCGGAACUGCCUUUUCCGUUGGCCGGAAAGGAGUAUCAACCGCACAGUCGAAGCCUUGUGCUUUGAGGUUCACCACCCAAAACCCUCUCAAGAGUUUCAGUGGCCUUAAGGCGGCGAGUGGAUCGUUUGCAUGUGAAUCUGAGUCGUCAUUCUUUGGCAAGGAGACCACUGCAGCUAUUCGAGCUUCUUAUGCUUUGAAAGCGCACAAGGAAGCCGUGGUGGUUCAGCAGCCGCAGGCAUCUUAUAAAGUAGCUGUUCUUGGAGCUGCUGGGGGGAUUGGCCAGCCCUUGGCGCUUCUCAUCAAGAUGUCUCCUUUGGUGUCUUCCCUGCAUUUGUAUGAUAUUGCCAAUGUCAAGGGUGUUGCGGCUGAUCUCAGUCACUGCAACACUCCCUCGCAGGUUCUUGAUUUCACGGGAGCUGAUGAGUUGGCUGAGUGUUUGAAAGGUGUGGACGUGGUUGUCAUUCCUGCUGGAGUUCCAAGGAAGCCUGGCAUGACCCGUGAUGAUCUCUUUAACAUCAAUGCCGGCAUUGUGAAGAACUUGAUUGAGGCUGUUGCUGAUAACUGCCCUGAUGCUUUCAUUCACAUCAUCAGUAACCCGGUCAACUCUACCGUGCCUAUUGCUGCUGAGGUUAUGAAGCAGAAGGGUGUUUAUAACCCAAAGAAGCUCUUUGGUGUUUCUACUUUGGAUGUGGUGAGGGCAAACACAUUUGUUGCUCAGAAGAAGAAUCUGAAAUUGAUUGAUGUGGAUGUACCAGUUGUUGGUGGACAUGCUGGGAUAACUAUAUUGCCCUUGCUGUCGAAGACAAAACCCUCAGUCAGCCUCUCUGAUGAAGAAGUUGCAGAGCUGACUGUUAGGAUUCAGAAUGCUGGAACCGAAGUUGUGGAGGCAAAGGCAGGUGCUGGGUCUGCAACAUUGUCAAUGGCAUAUGCUGCAGCCAGAUUUGUUGAGUCGUCUCUCCGUGCACUGGAUGGAGACAGUGAUGUCUAUGAGUGCUCUUAUGUGGAUUCAAAUUUGACUGAGCUUCCAUUCUUUGCUUCAAGGAUUAAGAUUGGAAAGGAAGGAGUUGAAGCUUUGAUACCAUCUGACCUCCAGGGUCUGACAGAGUACGAACAAAAGGCUCUGGAAGCACUUAAGCCAGAACUGAAAGCCAGCAUUGAGAAGGGUAUUGCAUUUGCCAACAAGCAACCAGUGGCUGCAUAGAUGCUAGCAUCCGAAUCUCCUCAUUCUAAUGACUGCUUUACAGAGGGAUAGAAAGAAUCUGGUUAUAUUUUUCUUCGGAUUUUGCUUUGCAUCAGUACUUUCAAUUUUGUGGAAUGAAGUUUAUGUCAUUCCAUUUUUCUAUGUCGAAGCACUUUGGGGAGGACAUAUAGAGUUGCUUCUGUUGUUGUAGAUGAAGGUUAGACAGUUUUGAAAUAACUUGGCUCCUCUAUUGGUUGUGUUUAGGGAUAUCAUGUAUUUCUCCUCCUGCUGUAUGUUUGCAAGAGUUGAGCUAGUCUGUGAUGCAACAAAUAAAGUUUUACCUACUUUCAUGAUAGUAUACAGUUUACCUUAUGAGCAUCUAUGAUGAAUUCAGACUUUGAAUUAUAAGCAAUUUAGCAUCGGGCAAUAGCUUCAAAAACGACUGUACUGUAUCAAUUUGACCCAAAAAAUGGCUACAAAAAGGUACAAUCGAUCGGCAAUUUUAGCAGUGUUCAGUUUUGAAUUUUAGCAAUAGCUUCCACAUUAUCUUCCAAUUAAUCUUAAAUUUUGAAUCUCUAUCUUUCACUGUAGCUUUUCACUACCAUCUAUGCUACUCUACAGUGUCACUUGUCUGAAUUUCUACAGUGAUGCUCACAUGCCGUAGUUCUUGAAUGUUCCUACCAAUAGCCAUUGCAUGAGCAACGUCCCUCCCGAAAAUGAUGAAACCGACUGCGGUCUCUAACAAUUAUCGUCCUGUUAUAAACCCCUGAGAGAAUCAUUGCAAAGUUGUGGCAAUCAACACAAGUGCGAAGAUUCUUGGCCACUCUAAUUGUCAUGCCAGGUGGAGUUGCCAGCACUCCAAAAGCAAUAGCUAGUUUCUCGCUGUGAUAGGAGAGUGCAUAUCCCUUCUCUGCUGCCCCCAAAUUGUGAAGUUCAGAUGAUACAUCAGCAACAUAACCAGCAAUCUUCAGCUGACUAUUGAUCUCAUCUAGCAUUCGGUAGAUUUCGUCCUUCCUUGGAUGUGAAACAUCAUCCACCAAAAACUCGUGGACUGUUCCAUCCAGUAUGAUUGUGCUGCAGCCUGGUGUAGUUUGAAUUGCAUUUUCCUUCAUAAACUUCCUCAAUUCAGUUAACUUCUCCCAGUUUUUAGCUGUAGAGUAAAUAUUCAUCAACAGAACAUAGUCCCCUGCCUCUUGAGCCUUGAGUUCGAUCAAAUGAUCCACCACACGUUCCCCAAGGGUUUCAUAGUUAUGAAUCCUGCAAGCCCCAAGUAAGGUCCUCCAUAUUUUCGAAUCUGGAUUAAUAUCCAUCGACAUUAUAAGCUGAUAAGCUUGAUCAAGUCGACCAGCACGACCCAAUAGAUCAACUAUACACCCAUAGUGAUGGAUAUUAGGCACUACUCCAAACUCUUUACUCAUGCGCUCAAAAAUAUCCAUUGCUUCAACAACCAACCCACAAUGACUGCAAGCAGAAAGCACACCAGUAAAAGUCUGUUCAUCAGGUAAAACACCCAUUCUCUGCAUCUCACAAAACGCUUCAACCGCGUCUCUACCAUACCCAUUCACUGCAAGCCCGGAAAUCAUUGCACUCCAUGAAACCACAUUUCUACCCCGCAUUCCCUUAAACACCUCAUAAGCCUUAUCCAAACACCCACACCGCGAAUACAUAGUAAUAAGAGCAUUACACAGAUUAGAAGCGCCACCAUAACCAUGUUCCUCAAUGUACCUAUGAACCCUUUCGCCAAACUCCAAGGCGUUCAUGUUUGCACAAGCUUGCAGCGUAAGUAAACAAGUAACAUCAUCAGGCUCACAUCCGUAGCUUCCGCUCCGCAUAACGUCAAACACACCCAGAGCGUCCCUGCUGUGGCUGUUAUGCAGAAAGCAAGAAAUCAACACAUUCCAAGCAACAGUGUCCCUCUGCGGAAUUUCAUCGAACACCUUACAUGCAUCAUGAUACUCCCCACAAGUCGAGUACAGGUUCAUCAGAGCUGUGAGUAAGCGACUAUCUGAAUGAUGCCCAUCUCUAACAAUCCUAGUUUGCACCUGAAUUCCUACUGAUAAGCAUUGCAUUUUAACACAGCACUGGAUUACGAAGAAGGACGACAGCGAGUUGCAAUGAAGCCCUCGCCGUCUGAAGUCUCGGUAGAGAUGAAUACCCUGUUCGGGUGAAUCGCUCGUGGAGUAAGCUCUUAUGAGAGUGUUGUAGUGAAUGGCAUUGGGUUUGGGGAUUUGGGCUAAGAAAUGGCGGGAGUAGGUUAAGUUUUUGAGUGGCGGGGAAAGCGAAAGGAGGGAGAGGAAGUGGAAGCAGAUAGAGGAGUCGAGAAUGAGAGAGGUUUGGAGAAUGUGGGCGUGGAUUUGGAGUAAAUGGGAUUUGUGGGUGCAUGAUUUGAUGAGGGAGAGGAGGGAGUCUUUUCGGGUUUGAGCGUAGGAGAUGAUGAUGGGUUUGGUCUGGUUUUGAUGGUCAUGGGGGGUUUGGAUUUGGGAAUGGUCGAGGGAGGUUUGGUUAGUGGUGAAGAGUGAGGGGAAGGUGGAGGUGAGACGAGUAGAGGAGAUGUUGUGAUGUUGGAGAUGGGCACAGUUUGAACGCAGGGACUGUGAGAUCGCAGUCAUUUUCAGCUCUUUGCUUUCUCACAUCUCUAUUUAUAUGUUCUUGCCAUUUUUUUCUUAAAGAGCAAGAAUUUUGGGAAAUUUUGAGUUUUGAUAUGGGUGUACCAUUACACCAUUUUGUUUAUUUUCAAGUAUUUGGAUUGAGAUACUAAAUUGGUAUGAUGGUAUUUUUCUUUGGAAAAUUCUAGUUCAAGCGGUAAUUUUUACUACCAUCACCUCGUGUAAAGCACGUGCAAUGUAGACAUGUUAGUGUAUGUAUGAACAUGUCUAUGUAUGUCAUACAUGCGGACAUAACAAACAAACCCAUUUUCUUUUUAUAUUUGUAGAUGAAAAUUUGAGUUUAAAUUCUCUGUCGCGCAAGAUAAAUAAAAUGUAUGAUCGUAUUGAGAUUUAUGUUUCAUUUCAAUUAAAUUUAGGUUCGUACAAGUAACAUGUUCUAAUUAAGAGAAAUACAAACAAUUCACUCGGUUGUUCUUGUUUCUGUUCUCGCCUCUUCAUCCAUGCAUUAUAAAUUCAUGAAAUUAUAUUUUCCUUUUCCAUAUUAGGAGUAUGUAUGAAUUAUUCUAUGAACGAUAUUUGAUAGAUAUGCAUCUAAAACAGAAAAAGAAAAAAACUAAAACUAAAUCAACCGUUUAAUUGACCAACCAUUUUCUGUAACAGGGUGCUCUGAAGAUGAAGUAGUCUUUCAGAGCCCAGUGUUCAUAUCAAGCUAUGAACUAAUUUAACCAUGUGUGCAAACCCACAAAAUCAACCUAAAAAAUCAGAAAAACUAAACAACUGAUCUGGCUGUUAUGAUAUUCCCGUUUAUUAUAUCAUCAUGCUAGCGGAAGAUGAAAAGGAAUCAGACAAAAGCGACUUAAUCUCUUCGUCUUCCUCGUCUCCUCGAUUGUCAAUAAUAGCCAUGGACUUCCCUCCACGAUUAUCAACAAUGCUGAAAUUAGAAGAAUGGGGUGGAUAAUCAAUCAGAUUCAUCCCCAUGAUCUUUCUCUUCUUGUAGUUGGCCUUAAAACAAGCCUGUCUCAACCGCUUGGUAUGGUCCUCCAGUUGCAUAUCCGGAGCUUCCUCCAUCAGCUUCUUCUCCCUCUCCAAUAACUCGAUCGCAUUCCGAAGCUUCUCUUCAUUAUUGUCAUCUUCUUCCUUUCCCAACUCCUUAAUAACAAUCAAGGAACGUUAUAUUUUCCGAUGGUGAUGAAGAAACUGAAUUGAAAUAUGUCGUACUUAAUGUUACUUUUAGCUAGGUACCUGAAUGUUCACCUGAAUGUUCCGGAUUAGGGUCUGGAGGCUGGUGAGUUUCCGAUGAGGCCAACGGCGAACACCCAACUCCCGGCACCUUUUCUUCAAAAGAGUCAAGCCGACGUUUAGUUCUUUCGCUGCUUGAGUUAUAGGCAUGUAAAAGUACUGGGAGAUUGUUUCCCUAGACAACAAUUUUGAUGAUGAAUAGCUUCGAGUACUGCUACCACUUUUCACUUCGUCUCUCAUGCAUCGCUUCUUAUGCUUCCUCUCUUCACCGACAUGUUCUCUAUCUCCGCCAUUUUGAUCUUCAUUGCUCGUAAGCAGUAAAAUAGGCUGCUGCUUUUCUUGUUGCUGUUGUUCUUGUUGAUCAUGAUCAUGAUUAGGGUGCUCAAACCCAGAAGCGAACACCUCAUUGUGAACUACAUUCUCAGUCUCAUUUGCAUUGUCUCCAAACAAAACAUCAUCUCCUACACGUUCAGAAUCUAAAUUAUUACAUAAAAAUUUAUAUAAUGAGAAGUUUACCCUGAAAGUUUAGGGCAUAUGUAAAUGACUGUUCAUCACCUUGAAAUAGGCUUCGGAUAGGUUGUAUGUCAAGAGACGAGUAAAGAGGGUCGUGAUCAUGGAGAUUCAGACAGGUCUCCAUGAAAGGAAGAGCGUCAACAAAACUAUAGUCUUGCACCAUCGGCGGAACUUCAUUUUCCCAGUCCAGUACUGGAGCAUAACCACUUCACCACCAAUCAAGAAUCAUAAGGUUAAAUGUUUAAGUACCAAUGAAAUCAAAGGACUGCAGUUAGAUCAAACAAUAAACACGAUACCUGAAAUCAGCAGGAGAAAAUUGAUUUGCAAAUGAGAAUGGGUUUUCAUUGGAAACCCCCACCCAAUUAGGGUUACUCAUGAGGGAAUGACUCUGAUGGUGACUCUUCACUGUCAUUGCACCCAAAUCGAGAAAGAGAGGAAGAGAUUAAUGGCCGGCGGUGAAUAUAAAUGUGCAAAACUCUGAUCGACGAUGACUUAAGGAAGAAGAAGAAGAAGAGGCAAAUAGUGAGUGUAUAUAUAGGCUCAUGCAUUUACAUGUAUGCAUGAAUCAGCACAACUACUAGUGUUGUAAUUAAUCAUUGUGUUACUGCUGUGGUUUGUGCGCGUUUUAAUGCUUAGUGAGAGUUACAAGAAUGUAGUAUUAAUUACUUGCUAAACACCUCUAAUACAAUUUAUUAGAUUUAGAGGGCUUAAUCAUCUUCAUCAUUAGCCUACAUAAACGUGCGCCGCCACAGCUCCUCCUCAAUCUGUUUUUUUCAUUAAUAUUAAUUAUUCCUUCUUUCUAUUUAUCUUUCUCGAUUUUGGCUAGAUAUGCUUAGUAUCUAUAUAUAGAGAUUCAUUCAACUUAUUUGGGUGGAUUUAGAGUGGAUUAGUGAGUUAAUUUGUUGGAGGAGUGUGCAUGCUUGCCAAGUCUGAUUUUCCUUCCAGUUCGGACACUUGGACUUACUGAUAGUCGAAUACGACCUUAUAUUAUUAUUUUUUGAUUGAAAUACCACCUUAUGUUUGGGAAUGACAUUUCAAAAAUAAAAAAAUAAAAAAACUUUCUAGAGGCGUAUAUGCAUGUAACGUACCAAUAAUCAUUUACACGUUAAGGGGACGUACUGAUUAAUCAUUUUGGAUGAAUUAGAAUUGAUGAAACUUACUAGUGAGUGGGGUGAGAGGGGAGAGUUACUGCUUUAUAAUUUCUCUGCGCACUAUUAUCCUUCAAUCAUUCAUCACUUUCUAUCAUCAGUUAGAAAUAUUGUGAUUAAUAUUGUAACCAAUAGUUAUAGCCAAUCCUUCUUCUAUAUCGUGUAUCUUAAUGCAUAUUAUGGGUAGUGGUGGCUGAUCCAGUAAUCGGCAUUAAAUCAUAAAAAAAUACAUGGAUUAUGAGAGAUGAACUGAUGAAUGUUUAAGAAGUUAUGAUUGAUAACACAAUCCACAAUCUUCAUUAAAGAUUAGAGAUUGUGGAAAAUCUGGAUUCUGGAAAUUCUGUUUUUCAAUCGCGAAAAACUAUCCAAUAUGCAGCUGAUGACAAAUACCCUCCCACCCCCAAAACAAAUUACCAAGCUUUUGCAAGAAUUAAUCGAAAGGUGGGAAGAUUGAAUUUUUAAUACAGUUGUUUUGUUUUCAACCCUUGGAUGUUAAUCUAAUAGUGUCUGACCAUGAAUUUCUUGAUCAGUGACUAACCAUGUGAAGACUACUCUUAAUUUUGAUCCAUCACUUUCCUUUUUAAACUAUGUGGGUUUUUUGAGCUUGAACUAAGCAGAGCGAAAAAUGAUCACCAAGCAACAGCAAAAUCCAUAAAUAAUCAAAAUAUGGAUAAUACAACCGUUUAUGCUUUUGAUAUGGUAGAAGGGAAAUAAGCUGGUCCAAAACUUUUCUUCUUCAAGCCUUUGGGAAACUCGAACUCCAGGCAGGGGAACAUGAUACUAUGAUUCAGUUUCUUCCCCUGCCCCUUCCACGGCCACGCCAACUUCCUCUACCCCCACCACCCUUGCCGCCGCCUAAGGCUUUGUUCGCAUCACCGUGUGCUUUCAUGUUCUCUGGCAAGGGAAGUAUAUGAUCCACACACUUUCUGAAACUAAAAUCAUCACUGGCUCCAUCUUCCCUAACAAGGAAGUAGCACCUACUUCUAUACAAUGGAUGGAACCGGACUUGGAAAGCCUGGAUCCCUCCACCAAUCUUUUUAUCAGGCUCAGAGUGACCCUUCUUGAGCAAGUCCAGCAAAACCAGAUAUUCAUACUGCACCACAAUACAACAAGACAUUCAAUCAAACAAUUCAAGAAUAUAAUAAAUUAAUAAUAUGUAAGAAAAGAAUUAACCAGACAUUUUGUCAACUAUAACACAUGAUAUUCUAAUAUACAUUUCAUCAAAUUCAGAAGCUGUAGACUAUUUCCACCUAGCAUUUCAAAGAAAAUAUCAUACAUGUGAGCUAGAGGGUAUCAUCAUGAUGUAGAAGAAAGGUGAAAUAACAUGUAUGAUUCAUUACCCAUAUACAAGAUGUUGCUCCUAGUUUUGUGAUACCUUAGUGAAAACUGUAAGCUAUACUACAAUGAUUUCCCUCCAAAUCCUUACAUCCAGAGUAUAAUUCAAUACUUAACAACCCAAUGUACCCUAAAUCAAUGUCUGUGAAACACCAAAACUAGAGAUAUCAACUCCAACACGCAAGAAUGAACAACCAAAUUUCACCUUUAUAACUAGGGUAACAAGCACAAGCUAAUUACAGAAACCAUUCUAAUAUCUCAAUUAUAUACCAAAACAGAGGAAAAACACAAAGCCAGAACCAAAUUUCCCAAAAUCAGCUCAACCAAGUUAACCCCAUUCUUUGAUUUCCAUACUUUCGAAACUACACCCUAAAACAAUGUUAAUGAAACACUAGAAUCGCGCAUGUCAAUUACAACUUCCCCGUCUACAAUACAAAACUAUCCACAAUGUAUAUCAACACAUGCAUCCAAAUCCUAACUCGAAUAUCAACCGCUACACGAAUAAGCCCCAAAAUUCUCAACACCCUACAUCAGCAACACUCAAAUUUCACACCCAAACACAGUAAAUUCACACGCAUUAACAAAACAAGUUUCAAUCUUUCAUCAAAGUUCAAUACUUUAAGCAAAACCAAAACAGAGCUCAAAAAAAUCAAACAGCUCUAGCUAGUUUCUAUUACCUUAUUGAUAUUAAGAUCAGUGGGCCAAUAAUGCAGGAGCUUAUAGAAAUAGUCGAACAUCUCAACCGCCGAACCGAAACUCUUCGGACCCAAGCUGACCCGACCCGCCCCGUUCUCUCCUUCCCCUAACUUCUCCAACCUUUGCUCCUCAGCUGACUUCUCCUCCACCUUCGCCUUCUUCGCCGCGCCGUCGCCGCCGCUCUCCUCCGCCUCUUCUUCCUCCCGGGCCCGCUUAGCUGUGGCAUCGCCGUUCUGGGCCUCGUCGAUAUUUUGGGCAGGGGCGGUUUCAAGGUCCAUGUCCUCGGCCGCGGGGUUGGUAUCGGCGAUUUCAGCGACGGUGGUCUCUGCCAUGAUUAAUUGAGUUUGAUGAGAGUGUGAGUGUGAAGCUAAAACCCUAGGUUCUUUGUCCUCGUUAUAUAUAGACUUCAGUAGCGGGCUUUUUAUUUAGGGCCGAAUCUGUCUCACCCGAUAUUUCCAUAUUUUGUAAUUUUUUUGGUGUAUUUAAUUAUUAUUAUUAUUUUUUUUUCACCUUUUUGCUAGUUCUCACAUAAAUCUGAGUUAUAUAAUUAGCCCAUUUAGCCGGGUACAACACUUGGCAGUGUCACGUGGUGUUCCGGAUACAGCGAAUAAUUACUCCUCAAAAGAAAUUUUUUUUGUAAUCUUCUCUUUUGCCAAGUAAUUUCCAAUUUUGUUUGCCUCUUUUUUUUUUCUUUUUUAUGUUGUAUGAAAAAAGAUUGUUCUCCUAAUAUCAUUUAGUAAUUUCUACUAUGAACUUCAAAAAUAUAGAGAAUGAAAGGCUAGUUUGAAAUCUUUGACUCCUUUUAGUUAGUUGAAAACUGACUUGGAUGGUGUCUAUGAUCAUGUCUCUAAUUGUGGUGGUGUUGGUGUAAUAGUGAGGGGACUCUUCUGCUUCGCUAGUUGGAGGUGUGUUUUUACAGGUUGGGCAUAUCACAUAUGACAUCACUAAAUUGGUUGAGGUUACAGCACGUAAAAUAGCUUGUGAAUUGGCUGUUGUGACCAAUUAUUAUGGAGUCAGACCGCCUUGAAUUGGUUCAGGCUUCGAAGGUUCCUGAUGAUGAUAUACUAUACUUUGGGCAUAUUAAGUUAUAUCAAGCUCAGCCUUGUGGUUCUUUCUUCUUCAUUUUUCAUGUAUGUGUAUAGAGAUGCUUAUAUGGUGGCUCACAUAGUUGUAAAACUAGCUCUCAAUUAUGAUUUUUAUUGAUGAAAUUGUUCAUGAUUUUUUUUUUAUCUUCAAGUUCAAGAAAUAUUACUCUCCCAGAAUAAUAUUAAUAUUUAGUCUUUAUUUUUUUGUGUUACAAAACGAAACCGCUGAAAAAAUGAGAUACCAUUUCAGGUUAAGGGGUUGGGAGCACUUUAUAUAUGACCUUUUUUUUUAUACAUAGAUGUAUGACAAUUCCAUAAGUGAUGUGUUCCACAAGAUGGGGUUUGAACUAAAAAUCUCUUAUUAUCAUGAAAAUUUUUAUAGCGUUCGUACCGUUUGCGGUUUAAACAUUUUUUCACUUGACCAACCUUUUAAAAAUAGAAAAAUAAUUUAAAAUUUACAAUGAUUAAGAAUAUAGGAUUUCCAAUAUUAAAUUUUAUUAAUCUCUAUUAAUCUAAAAAAAUCCUCCGUUUUUCAAAGUUUAUAUUAAUAUCAAUAAUCAACUUAACAAAAAAGUCGAGAUUUUCUUUCUAGAAAAGGUCUAAAUUACUUACCAAUAAAAAGAAUAAAAAAUAAUGACUUUUCUCUUUUGGACAUAGCCCACCUACUCAAAGACAAGACUCCAUGACUGACGUCCGUUACUGUGACAAAACGCGCUAAAUUGAAAACACCAUCUGAACCGCCAAAUUCCACCCAGACGGUACGAAUUUCGCUACGUGUCACCAUCCGCUACAGAUGAUCACAGACGAUCUAUAUUCCAGCUUCGGAUAGGGGUUACCGAGCCUAGCGAGUCUUAUCCGAAGCUGGUGCGGUGUCCCUUCCAAAUUUAAUUACAUUUCUUUCGAGGUGAAGAAGAAGAAGAAGAAGACGACGACUUUUCCAGAAGAGAGAAAACAAAUUUCCAAGCUCAAAGUCUAGGUCUUUUCCAGGUACUUGUGCUUCUCUUUUUCUUCUGCUAAAUUCAUCUCUGAAAUUCUUGAAAAUGUCAUACUUGUUGAUGUAGAAAUUUUGCCAAGGCGUUUAUAUUUUGAUCGCGUUUUGUGAAUUUUUGGAUUACCGAUUGGUAAUUUUUUUUCUUCUUAAAUUUGUUUUGCAAUUUGUGAGAAAGAUUGAGAAUUUAUGGUUGUAGGUGCUAAUUAUUAUUAUUAUUAUUUAUUUUUUUUGGAAAUUGAGUUUUUGCUGAGUUUAAAUGGUUGAAUCUGUUGGGGUCAUGAAGAAACAGUGAUGCUAUAUUGAUUUAAUUGCUUGAAAUGCAGGAUUGAUUUCGUUGUUUUGAGUUUUGAUGUGUGAUGAAUCUGAAUUUUGUUUUCGAAAAAAAUCGGGAUUAAGCGUCAAUAACUCAAUAUUUUGCUGCAUUAGAAUCCAGGACUGGUUAAUUUAAUUUAUCCUGAUCAUACCUGAUGCAUAGGUAUAUUGUGAGCUUUGUGUUAAUUUGAGCCGGAAGGUUUCGGAAUUUAAUGGUUGUGGUGGUUCUGUCUUGUCGGUGCAGGAGUUUUUGUUUGAGAGAGAAUGAGUGAUCACCUGGUGUUGUGUGUUGACCACUUCACGAAACCUGACAGUUUGCAAGCACCGAAAGGGACUGAGACUCCAGGAUCUUCUCUGGAGGCCUCGUCGUCAUCAUCGUCCCAAUCGGCUGAGAUACCGAGUUGUGCAAUUGAUAUUAAGGGAGCAGGGGAGAAUGCUGUAUCUGAAGAAGAGGAGCCGCUGAUUCAGACUGUUGAAUGUCGCAUUUGCCAGGAAGAGGAUGGUGUUAGUAAUCUGGAGGUCCCCUGUGCUUGCAGUGGCAGCUUAAAAGUAUCAUCUGAUUCAUUGAUGCUCAUAUAGUUUUAUAUUUGCAGUUUUGCAACCUUUUUUAUUUUUCCUUUUUCUUUUUGGGGUGGGGGCAAACGACAGUCCUUUUGAUUCUUAUGAAUUUGAAUUGGUAAUUCAUUUACAAUAAUCGGUCAGUAACUUGGUACUUCCGAGAGUUAAGUUCUUGAAGUAGGUUGUUCUUGGGCAUAUUAGUUUGAUUGUUGUUAGUUACAUAUUCUUUUCUCUCUGGUAGUAAGUGACACCUUCUAUACUGCAACCUGAAGUACUACUUGACAUGUGCUGUUUAUUCUUUUUUCUUCAUGUUUUGAUUAUGCUGAGAGAUCUUAGCUUGUCUACAUUUCUUCCUGAUUUCAUUUGUUCAUUUCUUUUUUCGCUAUCCAAUGGAUUUUAACAAGCUUUUUAUCCAAACUAAGAGUUUGGUAUUAUGCUCCUUGUCCUAUAUUUACCUAAGAAUUGCAGUGCUUUCUUGUAUUCCAAAUCAAUGGUUUAGUAUUAGUAUUUUAAUCCAAGUCUCUAACUGUUACUUCUACAAUUCCAGUAUGCUCAUAGAAAAUGUGUUCAGAGGUGGUGCAAUGAGAAGGGAGAUAUCAUUUGUGAAAUUUGUCAUCAGGUAAUUCGCUGUAAUCCAUUGCAUAUACAGUGGUCAUUUUCAAGAGUGUUUAUAGAAUUUGUUUCAUUUCUAUGUUAGAGAUUUAUGGAUAUUCUUUGUAUUCACAUAAGUAAAGCUAUUUAGAAGCUAUCAUUGUCAUGCUUGUCCACUUCUUUGAUUGCGAAGCAUCAGUAUUUUGGUGUAUCGUGAGAAUGUUAGUGUUGUCUAAUCAAUUAACUAUGAUAAUGCAUGUAUGCAAUUUAUUAGAGCAUAUGAGCAUUUUUUGGUAACCUUUGAUGAUCUCAAUGGUUGAUUGAAUCUUUUCCAGUCAUGAAUUGCACAGUUUGUGUUCACUAUGAUGAAAAAGUUCUUUUGAUGCAGCCUUACCAACCUGGUUAUACUGCCCCAUCACCUCCUCCUCAGUCUGAAGACACUACUAUUGACAUCAGGCAAGUAUAGAAUUUAAAUAUGCUUUUGAACUUGUUUAGCCAUGGGAUUUUGACAAUCUUUUUAUUUUUUCAAAUUAAAAUUUGGAAAGAUCCGGGAAUGUGUAUUUAUGAUAGGGCUAAUUGUAUGACAAUCUUCAGGCCAAUAUGGUGUACACCUUGUCUGUUUUGACCUUUUAUAUUUUGCUUCUUGAAUUUGUCUGACAGUGAGGCCUGGACAAUCUCUGGUACCCCCUUGGAUUUACGUGAUCCUCGACUACUGGCAAUGGCAGCGGCAGAACGUCACUUUCUUGAAUCUGAAUAUGAUGAGUAUGCUGAUACAAGUGCUAAUGGAGCAGCUUUUUGCCGCUCUGCUGCUCUAAUUGUAAGCCACAAUAACCCUUGUCAAUACUAGUGAAAUGGUUUAAAUUUUUGUAUUUUUAAGGUUUUUUUUUUUUUUUUUUUUUUUGGUGAAUCUAUUGGAGGAUGAGCAAAAUCAACUCAUGUUUUUAUCUUGUGGUCUUUAUUAACAUUACUCUACUCAUUAACAGUUUUGUUCACCUCUUUAGUUUACUAAGUCUCCUUUCUUCAUGGUCAUUUGGUUUGGUGUAAUUGGUUGGCUUUCUUUUGGUCAUGCAAGUUGCAUGUUGCAUAUGCAAAUGCCCAUUUUGAAACCUUGGCAACUCUCAGUUGAACAAGAACAGUGUCAUCUUUUCCUGGUUGAGAAGUUUCUGUUAUCUACAUUGACCUUUCUCCCUUUGUUUUUUGGCAGUUAAUGGCUCUUCUACUCUUAAGGCAUGCUUUGACUCUUCCCAAUGGUGACGGGGAUGAUGAUGAUGCUUCUACAUUUUUCUCUGUAAGUGCGCUAUGGAUGUUUAAUGGGUCCAAUAAAUUUGACAAUUUUGCACCAUCUAACUCCAAUGAUUAAUUAACAGCUUUUCUUACUCCGAGCUGCUGGUUUUCUUCUUCCCUGCUACAUUAUGGCCUGGGCCAUCAGUAUAUUACAACGUCGAAGGCAAAGACAGGUUAGUAUAGGCUUUGCUGUUUUUGCAGCAACAAAUACUAAAUUAUCUCUUUUCUCUUUUCUUUUUUGAACAAGAUCACAUCUAUGAGAUUGGUUCCAUCUGAAGACUGAAAUGGGAUUUCUUCUCCAUGCUUCAACUGCACUGAAAGAAUUUAGAAAACUUGCGAACAAUUUUACUUUUGUCAUCUACAAAAAGUUUACUGCUCUUGGUAGAUGAUUGCAUGCUGUAUAAUAUUAUCUUCUUGAAAACCUUUUGCCAUCAGUGGUGUUAAUAUGAAUCAUAUGACUAUUUAUUCAGAUGGGGAUUAUACUGUCUUGUCCUUUCUCUUUUUGUUUCUGUAUUGAUGCAUAUGAUUAACUGUAGCACAUAGUGAUGCAUAGCUUCUAGAAUGACAUUGUUGGUUGCAGGUUGAUUUCGGUUAAAAUAAUGCAGUUUCCCUUUCCCCUCUUUUUUUAAAUAACAUUUUAAUCUGUUUGUCUAUUACUGUUUAUCCAGGAAGCAGCAGCACUUGCAGCAACUGAGGUUGCAUUUAUGCUGCAGGCAGGGCAACGUCGUGGAUUGCAGUUCACAAUAGCUUCAGGACCUGCUGUGACUCCCCAUCAGGAGCCAAUUCAAUAAUAUCAGUGCUCCACAAUUCUGGCGAUCUUCUUUGUUUGCGAAGAGAAUGGGAACUGAGAUUUGAGCAUAUUGUUUUUUAUGCUUAGUAGCAGUAAAGAUAAAAAUCUUUAACGAGUGUCUGUAUCCGUAAUCACAUUUUUUAAUACAGCUCACUUUCUUUCGAUAAAUGUUAUAUUCCAAUGCUAUGUAUAUAAUUUGGUUCUCAAGUAAACUACACUUGAUUCAAAAAGUGUAUUUUUCACAUAUUAUAAAACUAUCUUGGAUUUCAUGAUUUAGUUCUAGUUAGUUUACUGUUAUCUUAUUUUAUACUGCUCAUGAUGGAGUAUUGUAAAUGCUUGGCAAGCAUGUACAUAGCCUUCAUUAUGUAUCAGUAUUCUUUUUCAUCUUAUAUUCCAUGUGCUUUUAUUAUUUGGUUCCUUUUGGUUUCAAACCAACAAAACCGGUCUCUGCUCUUUCCUAUCUGCAUUUUGUUGAUUGUUGAGGUGAGGGACUCAUUGAAAUGUUGCAUUAUAUGAGUUUAUUGGAGGAUCAAAUAAACUCGUUGCAGUUUUCCAUUUACAUGAAUCUAGUUUUUGAUUCAUGCACCAUUGCUGAUGUUAAAUUUAUGUUCUGGCUUUCAGCCUUGUAGAUUCCUUGCACCAUUGCUUUCUUGGAUCCAGAUGAAGAACUAACGUUACACUGUGAUGUAGUUGUUAAAAGUUAAAUGUGAUGGUGAAGAAUGAUUUGGAAAGCAAUAGUGCAUUCAGUUCUUUUACUUUAAUACAGCUCUCAAAGCAGAGAUCAGGGAUCUAAGAGCUUAAAUCCAGCUUGGACCAUGACCAGUCCACAUCCUCCAUAGGUUUUGGUAAGUUUUCGAAAAUGAAAAGAACAGAAAUAUAAAAGAAAAUGAAGGUAGAGAAAGAAUGAAAGAUGGUCUUCAUGGAUAAGUGAGAUCAAUAUAAAGAAGGAAAAAGAAGAAGGGGAGAGGCCAGAUAUGCGAGCCAAAAUGGGUUUCCUUUGAAACUUUGAAUGAGGUAACUUAGGGAGGGAGAGUUGAGCAAGCCAAAGAGAGCAAAGAAAAGCAUAAAGGAAUUCCAUUAAGCACAAGAAACCAAGACUGUGAUUUUUGGUGCAUGGAGAGAAGAGCUUGGAAUUCUAAAGCUAGAUUGUUAGCUUAAAGCAAAGUGAGUUUGGAACAUAAAGCCAUUGCUUGGUUUGUUGUUUGGUUUGUUGUUUUUGGAGGAAGGGGGUUACUAUUCCCCACCAUUACUCCGAGUUCUCUACUUUUUAUGGCUUUUUAAUUGCAGUAGCUAUCUUCUUAACUCUUAAGGUAGUAUUUCCCUACAACCCUAAAAAUAUUCCUCAAGGUGAUGAACAAUGAUGCUGUAGUCUGUCUUUGUACCACUUCCUAUGAAUUAUUCUUUAUGUACUUGGUGGUUUGAUAUGUUUAGUAACUAGAAACUGGGUUCUUUUCAAUGAUUACAUUUCAUCUCAACUUAGCUGUGUAGCCAGUGUAGGUUUGGGUUGAGCCACAUAUUCAAAGCAUUUAGCAUAUGCUUUAGGGAGCAAAUCUUGGGUAUGGAAUACUACUUACACAUCAGCAUGCAUAGGGUGACAUGGCAAGUUAAUUAGGAAAUUACUCUAGAAGUUGAUGGAACUUGAUGCUAGUCUUGUUUGGUGAGCAAGAGCAAGGCAGAUGAUAGAUGGAUGAAGAUAUAAUGCAAAACCAAAUGACAAAAGAUACUUGGCUUCCCAAGGAUAGUGUUCCAAGUUAACUUUUUGUUCAAACCUGUCAGUCUUCUAAAACAGCCUUAUAUUGCUUCUAUGGCAGGCUUAUGAUUGAGGUGAAUCUAAAACUUCCCUACAUGUUCUGGCCUUCUGGGGCCUCUAUUGUGCUUUAUGCUUUUAGUCUUCCAAAUCCCAUAAAAGGCAUACACCCUUGGCUUAAUCCCACAGGAACGAACCAUAAGAAGGAACCAAGUCUCAAGCACACUACUCAUUUCCUUAUCAUUACUCGAGACACCGAUACCUACACUACUACCACUCCAUCUCUUGAUUUUGCAGAGUGCAAUCAAACAUGGGUGUUUUGGCUUACAAGGGGGCCAUUCUUCUUGUUUGCAUUGCGUUUUUAGCUCUACAGCCGGAAAAGGUUUCCGGGUUAAGAAGCAUGGAUUUGGCUCUGAGAUGGCAUAAAGGGCACUUCUCAUUUUUUAACAGUCUGCAUGUUGUUAAGGCUGUUGCUGUAGAGAACUUGCUGAGCUUGGCGCCUGCACCAGCAAUGACAUUCGAUCCAAGUCAAUCAAACAAACGAAAAGUUCGAAAAGGAUCAGAUCCCAUCCACAACAGAUGUUGACAUGCUGAUGCAGUUUCUGAAUGCCGGAGAGUUUUCAGGGAGCAAGAAGCUGUGGAGGCUGUAACUAAUACAAAGUUGGUUGGUUAGAAUUCUAUAUUUUCGCUUGUUUUAGUCAGUACUGUUUUUUUGUUGAGCUGAAGAACUGCAGCUGAUCGGAACAAGUCAUCGAGUGAGCAUCAUCUCUAUAAUGUAUAAACAUAGGUCCUAACCAAUAGAUGAAUACUUUGAGAAUGAAGAUGCUGGCUCUCACAGAAUACAUGCAUUUCUGAUUUUUCUAUAUAAAAGACAAGAUUUUAUAUUACGGUCCUGCACCUGUGAGCUCUGACUAAUUUUGCAUCAUAUGCCACAACCUUGAUUGUUUCACACUUCACAGGCAUUGUAACAAAGAUUUCUGCGUUUUCUCUACAAAACAACCAAUGCUUAUACAAACGUAGUAUAUCAGAACACAAUCAUGAGCUCGAAGGCUGUCAUUUCUCUUGAAAUAACUAACAUUCCCAUUCUGAGUGCAGUUACUGUAGUGAAACAGGCGAUCAAAAUCUCACAUAUUAUAGCAAAAAAGGAACAAACUUUUCAUUGAUAGUGUCAAGAAUAAAAAAUGAGCUUGUAAGUAUAUAAUAUCUACCACUCGAACAAAAAGUUGAUGUUUCAUAAAUGAUGCAAAGGUAAGACCUGCAUACAUCAGACGCUCUGAAAUGGACAAUGCCAUUUUGUUCUUAAACAAGUUGAGACCUGUCAUAUCUCCUCUUCCUGUUAUAUUUAAAUUGUACAGAUGAUAUCUUGCGAGAAACUGCCUGCCAAAUCAUAUCAACAGCAUCGCCAGGCAGGGAGGGAUACUGAUAUUCGAAAUGAUGUACAACUUCCUUCAACCUUUCCCACAUUUUGGUCCACUUCUCUUCAUUUAUUCCUCGAAGAAGUUUCAGCAGGUAACCCUUCUUUAUAGCAUCAUCCCCACGAACAAAUAUGCAAAACUGUGAGUAGUCUAAGACAUCUUCAAAUGGUACCUCAAUCUCAUCACUGAUUAUCACUGGAACACAAUGACUAGCAAUGGCAUCGAAUAAGCGAUUUGAGGAUGGGGUAUCGCCAGCUAUAUUUAAGCAAAAUUUCGAUGAGGCCAUUCCUUGGGUUGCCUUGCGAACACCGUUUCCUCCAAUGCUACCAAAAUUGAAGUCAACAUCUUUCUCAUCUUUUAGAAGAUAAUACAAUUCUUGUCGAAUUACUCCUCCCUGUAUCAAUAUAAAAAGUAAAUAUUACAUUAAUUAAGUAGAUAUUAUCAGGCUAUUCUACUAUUCUAAGCCUGACUAGUGCUUCAUCAGAAUAAUGUACGACAUAAAAAGGAAAGGGAAGAACAAUAAAGCAGCUAAAAAGAGCAAUCACAAUAGUGCAUCAAGAAAUCAUAACUAGCAAAACAAAAUUUGAAAAUCCUAAUUGGCGGAUACUUCAUAACAAGAUCAAUUCAGGGAAGUAUGAUCAGAACAAAUUAAUUCCAUCAUGCAAUUUAAUUCCAAAUAAAAGCAAACAGAAAUAAAGCAUAAUCUGCUAAAAUUAUUGAGACAUUUUAAUCAUGAAGCAAUACAACAUCAUAUCAAAAAUUGAAUGAACCAUGAUAAGAGAUGAAAGAAGGAAAGACUGACAUCUUUUCUGUAUAUUGCUCCUCGGAAAUACACUAGUAUAGGACGCUCCUUGAAUGUGGCUGAUUUGCUACUGGGAACAGUCUUCACCAAAUGUCUGUAAGGAGCGAUUAUAUCCUUCCCAAGAUUUGCUAUUUCAGCAGGAUAUCUUCCAAAAUCUGCAAGCACGAACAUGGCAGAACCCAAUUUCUUUCUUGCAUCCAACAUGCUAUUUGGAUGAUGAGCAACUAUUAAAUGAUCUUUCCCACCCUUUCUUUUCCAUUCAUUCCGGCCCAUCAAAAACUGCACCAACUUGUCCUGCAACCUCUUGUUGACACUGACUUUCUCCUUCUCAUGAAGUUUAGAAUGCCGGUUGUAACUCAGAGAUGCGAAGAAUGGCACAAAAAUAAAAUCAGCUUCUCUUGGAUUGUGCACCCUGACUAAUGUACAAGGUCUAACCACAUUUACGUUAUCUGAUGAUAAAAUAUCAAGGGUGAGCCAAUAUUCUAUACUGUGCUGUAAAUUCAGCCCGCCUGGGUAAGGUGGGAUGUGCUGUGGCCAUGUUUGAUUCUCCAUUUCUUUCCAACCCAAUAACCCAAAGUGAAAUUCAGGAGGCAAGUCAUACAUAAAUACCCUCAAAAGAGCCUGCUUCGAGUCACAAACCAUGUUCUUUCUACCAACAGAUCCCACUUUCUUGCUUGGAUUGGAAACUUGACAAGCUGAUUCACUCAUUCUUUUCAAGGGUUGUAUAGCAUCUACUUGGGGAACCUCAGAAGAGAGGAAAGAACAUUUAAUAGGUUCCUUUUCCGCAUGGGGCUCAAAGUACACAGAUGUGCCAUUAACAAGCAUAAGCUCAAACACUGAUCUGGGAAUGAAAGAUGUAUUGCCAGAUUGAAGAAGGAACACAGAAGAAAGAAUUAAAAGGAACCCAGAAACUGUUAUUAGGGAGGAAAUGAACUUUGAGGGAAUCCUACUCUUUUCUGACAUUGAUGACAUUCAGGGCACCAAACUCAGCUAACAAUGCAAUCAAUGAAAUUCAUCUAAAUAUAAAUUGCUUCAGCACAAUAUAGAAAAGACAAUGCCCAUCAAAUCAGCUUCUUAACAGAACAGGUUGAUCAGCAUAACCAUAUGGAAAGAGAGACGCCCAUCUCGAAUGAGAAGCCAAAUUCUUCUUAAACAUCAGAAGGGUUUUAACAAGGACUGAAAACUACUGGUUCUCUUGGAACCCAUUGCCAAUCUACCUAUCUCUACAGCUCUACAACCAUGAAUUCAAGAAGAAAUUCUUCCUUCUUAAGGCCAGGGUCAUAAUCUAAUAAGUUUCAACUCAAUAAAGAUAGAACCUUGAAUUUCUGGGAAAACCAAAGCCUCUCUCUUGA